AAAAACCCAUCCACUGCCCGAUCCCAAUCUAUCAACCCACUUCCAGUUUACAUCCAGCAAGGCAGCUCUACUAUAGUCUUUGCAGAACAGGUGUGAAAGCAAAAGCUUCUGUUAUUCAGCAAUGGGAAAGGAGAUGAGGCAUUUGAGUUCAUGGGUUGAAGUUGCACCUCCUCUUCUCAUUUCUCCCCUCAGGAACAGAACAUCUAAUUCUCCAGUGUUGGAGACCAUCACCGAAGAUGAAGCUGAGGACUCCAAUGACGACUAGCAUUCCUCACCCAUCCAUAUUUAGGACUGAAAUCCCCCCUCCCCCCUUUUUGCUAUAAAUUGUAAUCUUGGGAAGUUAAUGGAAUGUUCCAGUUUUGUUACAGUUCAAUGUUUUUUUUUUUUUCUCUUAAUUGAUUGUCACUUAGCAGGAUUGUUCAUCAAAGGAAAAAUGUAUUUUGCCUACACAAAAAAGAUGAUCCUCAUACUUGCAUUAAAAUAUUGUUCCUUUUAAAACUAUACUUUGCUACCAUUCUUAUGGUGGGGAAAAAUUAAGUCCACCUUGGGCAAAAGGUGGUUGAUUAAAAUUAAAAGUCAAGAACAAGGAAGGCUUGAGAUUAUGAAUUUGACUACUAAAGUAGGAAACUAUACGAAAUUACUUUUCAAUGCUUAAAAUUUGAACUUAGCAAAAAGAAAAAGUGUUUUAAAUUUUAGACGAUUUGCUGAAGGAGUUUUAAUUCAGGUGGUAUGUGUAUUAUCUGAGAUAAAAUAAUAAAACGAGUUGCAUAAAAAUAUAUUGAAAAAUGAGUUUAUUUUUCUUUUUAUAGUAAAUAGAAAAUACACGCUUAAAAACUAGGAAUCUAUGGGAUUGAGGUCUCUUCACGCAGUGAAUUAUUGACGUCCCUCUAGCAAUCUCGUCGUAAUAUAUUGCGGUCGAUAUGUGAGAAUGUAUUACGAUGUUAUUUUCUUAGUCUUUUAAAAUAUAUCGGAAUUUUAUUUUCUAAUUCUUAAUGUAUCAUUUAUGUAUUAAUCGGACUUCUAUAAUAUUACUAAUUGUUGUGAAAUUAUUUUAAAUUAUAUCUAUUAAUAUUGUAUUAUCACAAUUAACCUUUAUAUGAAUUUCUAAAUAUACUUUAACCAUAAAAAGUAAUCUUUUUUAUAGUUGGAUAAUAAAUGAGAUUCAGAAUUUGUAUUAAAAUUAAUAAAAGAUUUACACCAAUUACCAAAAUAAUUACUAGGCAGUCAUUCAAAUCAUUAUAUGUAAAAUGAUAAAAAAAAUUAUUAUUAACAAAAAUUAGAAAAAUAUACAUUAAAAAAAUCGGCAAUGCAAUUUGGAAAAUAUUGUGGCCGUAUUGUGCUGUAAACUGAGUGCAAGUGAUGAAAAACAGUAGAGGACAACCGACCAAUCAUCAAAGCGGAGACGGCAUCAUAACUUAUGUAUCGACACGUGGGUAAAGGAAAGCCUUAAGUGUUAUUAUAUCUCUUUCUAUUUCAAGGAGUUUGGUCCAGGCGAUGUGAUUAGAGAGCAUUAUUUUAUGAUUGUACAACGUGGCUAGACAAGAGUGGUUGAAAGGAUCAACGGCGGUGCUUGGUGGGUCCGGCCUUGAAAUGGACGGUUGUAGUGCCUACCGCAUUUUGAGUGUUUAGUCGGUACGCCUUUUUGGAUCACGCCCGACACACCAUUUCCAUCUCUCCAUUACAUUAAUGACACGCGGCGAAUUCUUACCCACUUAUCAUUUAUUUUUUUAAUUAAGUAAAUAUAAAAGAAAAAAGUAAAAACCAAAAAUACUUAAAUUAUAUUAUAGUUAGCUAUAAUACUAACCUAUAUUUGUUACAAGUUAAAGAGUUUUAUUAGAUAAGAAUGUAUAUUCCAACAUAAACAAUAAUAGUUGCCGUGUAUAAAUAAAUGCAUAAUUAAUGAAGCACAUUAAAAAUACCUAGUGGGCUUGUCCCAAAGUAGUCCAGCAGCAAAGAGCCACCCUUGGUAGGGUCUGGUUUUCUGAAAUGGGGCGGCAAAACAACUACGUUAAAUUGACACCCACUCGACCACCGCACCCAUAUAUACCCUUAUUCCAAGGAUUAUCUUCAAAAACAAAGGCUGUAAUCCAAGCUUCUAUUCAGUUUUGUAAGAGCUAUGGCUAAGGACAUUGAGGUUGGUGGUGAGUUCCAGGCCAAGGACUACCAUGAUCCUCCACCCGCUCCAUUGGUCGACGCUCAGGAGUUAGCCAAGUGGUCUUUUUACAGGGCUGUCAUUGCUGAGUUCAUUGCCACUCUCCUCUUUCUCUACAUCACUGUCUUGACUGUGAUCGGUUACAAGACCCAGACCGACCCUGCUAAGGGCGGUGAAGAUUGUGGCGGCGUUGGCAUUCUCGGCAUUGCUUGGGCUUUUGGUGGCAUGAUCUUUAUCCUUGUUUACUGCACUGCCGGUAUCUCUGGUAAGUACGCAAAAUGGGCUAAUAACGGGAUACGAUUUAGCAAAUGACUAACAACUUAGCUCAAUAUUGCAGGGGGACACAUCAACCCAGCAGUGACCUUUGGACUUUUCUUGGCUAGGAAGGUGUCGUUGGUUCGAGCCAUAUUUUACAUGGGUGCUCAGUGUUUGGGAGCCAUAUGUGGGUGUGGGCUGGUCAAGGCCUUCCAAAACUCGUACUACAACCAGUAUGGAGGAGGAGCCAACAGCCUGGCUGAAGGAUACAGCACUGGAACUGGUUUGGCGGCUGAAAUCAUCGGCACCUUUGUCCUUGUCUACACUGUUUUCUCUGCAACUGAUCCCAAGAGGAAUGCAAGAGACUCCCAUAUCCCUGUAUGUCUCUAACUUUAACCAUAUCACAAACGUAAAUUGUAUUCUAUCAGUUAUGAAUUGUUGUGUAUUGUUGUUUAAGGUCUUGGCACCACUUCCCAUUGGGUUUGCUGUGUUCAUGGUUCACUUAGCCACUAUUCCCAUCACCGGAACCGGUAUCAACCCGGCUCGUAGUUUGGGGGCUGCUGUUAUCUUCAACCAGGACAAGAUAUGGGAUGACCAUGUAUGAACCUUUUGAGUUAUACAACUUUUUUAUUUUUGGCCCUUGUCUUAUGACACCUUAUAAAUUUUUUGUUGUUUAUUUGAAAUGGAUGCAGUGGAUAUUCUGGGUAGGACCUUUUAUUGGAGCUGCCAUUGCCGCAAUCUAUCACCAGUUUAUAUUGAGGGCAUCGGGUGCUAAAGCUCUGGGAUCCUUCAGGAGCAGCUCUGCCAUGUAAAAUAUGUUGAAGCAAGAAUUGUGCAGCCAUGAGUUCAAAGUAAAGGCUGGCAUGCUUGGAUGAAUGAAAUGAAGUUUUCUUCAGACCAUUGAAUUUGUAAAGAAUAAUCAAAGUGUAAUGCUUCUUCUCUAUGCAUGUGGCACUUAUUUUUAAUGUGCCUCAAACUUUGCUUUAUUUAAAUGGAGUUCAGUUCCUUUUCCUUUUUCUUUAAAAAAAAUAUGGAAAAUAGAUUCGAGUUGUUUUAAAAUUUAUGUUCAACAUCUAAUCUCUUAAUAGGUUUAGAAAACGUAAAGGACUAAUCAUCAAAUCCACUCUCAUAGAUACCUGAUACCUAAAGAAUUUUAUAUGAUAAGAUAAAUCUAAGUGAUUUUAAACGCAUGAUAAGGAAACAAAAUUAUAAUAUUUUGCAAAACAACCUAAAGGAAUUAAUGGUUAAGAGUUCGGUUAAAUAGGCAAUAUAUGCUUCUUCUUCUUUUUUUAAUUGGCCAAAUAAACCUUUUUUUAAGAUUUAGGGAAAUAAAUCGAUUUUAGUGAGAGUGUGUGAAAACGCGUCCAACUGGACAUAUUUUCUGCACAGGUGGUAGGAAAGCAUACCCAACUAGAUGUGUUUUUCCUUUAAGUUGUAUUUUUGACUUUUUUUUUAAUAUAAUUAGUUACUUUGGUCAAAUAAUUAAAUGUUAGUAGUUUUAUCAUUGAGUCUUGGGUUUGAUUCCUCUUACUCACAUUUGUGUUUUUUAUUUGAUGUUGUUUUAAGCAUUUUAUUAUUUUUAAUAUAUUAGUUUUAUUGGUUAAAUAGUUAAAUAAUAAUGAUUUUAUCUUUGAGUCUCAGAUUCAAUUCCUCCUCUUCUAAUCAUGUUUGUAAUUUUUAUUUCAUGUUGUUUCAAGUUUUUUUUUAAUUAAUAAAUAUAUUGUUUUCAAACUUUUUAUUUUUAAUUCAUAUUUUUAAUUAAUAACUCUUUUAUUUAUAAAAUCGAAUAAUUAUUAUAAAUAUCAUUAUUUUUAGUAAAUAUAAUUUUUAUAUGUGUAAUAUUUAUUUUUCAAUCCAUAUCAUGAGUGUAGUAAAUUUUAGUAUUAUAUAUUUUUAUAUGUGUAUUUAAAAUAUUUCACAUAUAAAAAUAUUUAAAAUAUCAUACCUACAAUGUAGGUGAAUAAAUAAUGAUAUUUGAAAUAUUUUACAUAAAAAUAAUUAUUAUAUUUGAAAUAAUUAUUUCAUUUUAUAAUAUGAGAAAUCACCAUACCCACAAUAUAUGUGGAGAAAAUAAAUAUUUGACAGAUAAAUAUUAUAAAAAUAUAUAUAAAAAAAUUAGCUGAUAUAUAUUUUUAUUAUAUAUAAAGGAGUUAUUAAUUUCAAAUAUUUUUAACAUAAUGAUAUAUAUAAAAUAUAUAUUUUUAUUAUAUAAUUACAUAUUUAUUAUUUGAUUUUAUGAAUAAAAUAGAUAUUAAUUAAAAAGAUGAAUUAAAAAUAAUAUAUUUAUUAAUUAAAAAAACUUGAAACAACAUAAAAUAAAAAUUACAAAUAUAAAAUCAUUAACCACAAACAAGGGAGCUUAUAUAUUAAAAAUAAUAAAAAGCUUAAAAAAUACGAAUGUGAGUGGAAGAGAAAUCGAAUUUGGGACUCAAGGAUAAAAACCACAAACAUUUAACCAUCAAACAAAAAAACCUAAUUAUAUUAAAGAAGUAAAAAAUGCAACUUAAAGAGAAAGCACAUCCAGCACACACUCUCUCCAAAAUCGACCUAUUUCCCUAAAUUUUCAAAAAAAAAAAGACCUAUUUGGCCAAUUAACAAAAAAAGACAUAUACUAUCUAUUUUGUCAUAUCCCGAAAAUGAGCUUAGAAGAAAUAGGGAUAAAAAAUAGAUUUUAUUUUAUUUUUAAAACAAAGGGUAAGAAAAUUUAGUAUGCCUUAAAAAUUACUUGUGCUAAAAAUAAGAAUGAGUUUGUUGGUUUAGUGGUAAAGUUUUAGUUUACCUAUAGGUCCUAAGUUCAAAACCCCUUGUGUGCUUUCAACCAAAAUAUUUUAUUUUCCUAUUUUUACCCCAAAAAGUGCCAAAUUUACGAAUUAGCCCAGCUAAAAACCAUUUUUUAAAAUUUAGUCAUUGAUUUAAAAUAGUCCUAAUUCUACAUGAAUUCCUAAAACCUAUUUCAAUUAGGGAAAAUUAGUUUUAUAAAUAGCCAAAUUUAAAGAAAACCCUAGGAUUUUUACCUAGUAAAUUUUAAGAAAACACUCCCAAGUUCUUUUUCCAAAUCAAUUUUUCAAGCAAAAAGCAGUCAAAGUUUUCAAACUCAUCCCUCUCCCCCAAGUGGAUCAUUAACCUCCUCUUCCAAAUUAAGGUUUUCGUGACUUCAAACCAGGUGUGGGAUCUAAACUUAAAUCAUUAUGUAUAAUUAAUUGUAGUGUUAGAAAAUAAGUAAUCUAUACUUGAACCCCCAUGUGAACCCCCAUGCAAAACCCCAUGCGAACCCCCUUGUCAACCCCCUACAAACUCUCAUGCGAACACCCUUGCAAACCCCCAUGCGAACCCAUAUAAACGAGCCCCCAAAAUAGGUGAACCCCAUGUGUGUAAACCCAUGUAUACGAACCUGUAUGUGAAACCAUAUGCAAAUCCUCAUAGGAUUAAGUAUGUGAACUCUCAGUAUAUACAUGUAAUAGCCCGUUUUCAAUGAAAUCGGAAUAGUGGCUUCGGGACCACAAAUUUGAGUUAGAAAGAAAAUUUAUUUUAAUAUUAUUGCAUGAUCUACAUUAUGAUAGGCAAGACGUAUGAAAAUUUUAAUAAGAAAAUUUUACCGAUUUUAUGUUUAAUUAGGAGGAAAGGACCAAAUUGCAUAAAGUGCAAAAGUUGAAUUCUAAUAGCUAGAAGGAUUUAAUAGCUAUGGAAUUCAAAAUUUAAGGUCCUUAUAUGAUAAUUAGACCAUUAAGAGAAGUUAGUAGAUAUUUAUGGUGACUGAUCCAUGGAAAUUCAAGAAAAGAAAAGGACUAAAUUGGAAAUUAAAUUAAUUAAAGAUGAAAUAUACUAAUAUCAUCUUAUUUCAUCAUCUUCCCCAAAUUAAAAAUACAUGGAAACCCUAGCUAAGAUAAAAACAUUCAAGCAAGCUAUUUUGGCUUAAUUGGGUAAGUAAUCUUGUCCCGUUUUUAGUAAUUUUAUAUUUUCGAGAUCGGAAUAACCUAAUCUAGCUAUUUUGGGGAUCAAUUUGUAAAGUUAUCAAAGGAUAAAAGUUUUUACAUCAAUUAAUAUGCUUAAAUUUUGAAAUUUAUGGUAGAAAAUGAAAGAUUGUUGAUAGAUAAACAACUUUUGUAAGGUGAAUUUUGAUGAAAUUAUGAUUUAGGGACUAAAUUGUAAAGAUGUAAAAUUCAUAGAAAAUUUCUAAUUUUUAUGAAAUACAUGGGCUGUAAAUGUUAUAUGAAAAUUUUGGUUAGGCUUGGAAUAAGGAUUAAAUUGCAUGAAUUUCAUUUUUCGAGCCUAGGGAUGAAGUUGGAAUUUAACAAAAGUAUAAGGGCCAAAUGGUACUUUUGUCUAAAAUGUGAAUUUGGCUUAAUUGAAUAUGAAUUGUAUUGAAUUGAGUUAAAUUUACUCGUAUAGAUCUGAAUAACUCAAAUACGAAGUUAGAUUGAGGAAAAGAAAAAGUGUCGGAUUAGUAGAUUUUUGUAUACGAACAAAAUGAUGAGGUAAGUUCGUGUAACUAAAUUAUGUAUGUUUACAUGUUUGAUUUGAAUGUUGUAUAUAUGAAUUAUGAAUUUUUUAUGUUAUGUUAUUGAAGACAAUUAUUGAUUCCGCAGAGCCCGAUGUGUGAUAAGUCUCGUAUAAAUAAUGGAAUUCGAUAGAUACUGGAUUUCCCGAAUUGGUUGUAGUCUUGCAUAUGUUGCAGACACACCAUAGCUCUUACGAGCAUCCUGUUAUUAGCCCUCUCAAGCUUCUCGUUAUAUAGUUCUGCGAGCAUCCUAAUCGGUAGUAAUUCUGCAUGUGUUGUGGACUACCGCAGCUCUUUGUGAACGUCUUGUUUGUGAUCGCUUGUGAUCAUGUAUAUGUUACGGACACAAACGCAGCUCUUUGUGAGCAUCCUGAUAUAGCUUGCUUGAACUUCCUAAUAUAUGGCUAUCCGGAGCUCCCGUUACACGGCUCUUAGUGAGCUUCCCGAUAGGUUCUUCGUGAGCUUCCCGAUUAAAUGUUCUUUGUGAACUUCCUAAUUAUAGCUCUUAUGAGCUUCCUAAUAUAGCCCAGGUAAGCUUCUUAUUACAUAGCUCACAUGGGCUUCUCGUUUUAUGGCUCAAAAGAGUGUUUCCUGUUUAAGUGUUCUCAUGAACACUCUAGAAUAUGAAUUGAGGGAUUAUAGAUUAGUGCACUUCAUGUGUACUACCCGAUGUCCAUCGAUAUUUCAUAAAGUUCAAUGGGAAAUACAUGAAACGUUUAUAUGAUGAGCUUAUCUUUAUUACUUGAAAAGUAAUUAGAAAUUCAUAACUAGCUUGCUUGAUUGAGUGUAUGUGAUUAGGCAUUUGGCCAAUUUGCUUGGGAUGUAUGUUAUUUAUAUGCUUACUUAAAAUAAACAUAACUGGUAAGUUAAGUUCCUGUUAUACGAACUUACUAAGCAUUAGAUGCUUACUUGGUUUUCUUUCCUCUGUUUUAUAGUGCUCAGAAGCUCAUAAAGGUUAGAGUUCAGUCAGAGCAUCAUCACACUAUCCUCCAGCUCGUUUUGGUAUAAAUAGAAAACUUAUUUUGGUAUAAUGGCAUGUAUAGGUUAAUGUUGACAAAUGAGGGUAUGUAAAUGUUUUGGUUGUAUUUAGCCAUUAGAAUGGCUAGUGAUAGUAUUUUUAAUGUAUAUAUGCAUGAGGUUAUAUUAUGUUUGGUAUGUGAGUAUGCUUGGAUUAGUAUUUUAGGUAUAGUCAUGUUUAGGUAAGUAUAUGAUUAAAAGGUAAGAUAAAUACUUGAAGGUAUGAACGAACAUGCCAUGCAUAAAACUUAAUUAUUUGUUUGAUUUAUAUGCCUUGAAUUGGUUGGUGAAUAUGUUGAAAUUUCAAUGUAGGUGUAAGACAAGUUGGGUGAGAAAUAAGGUUUAGAAAUGACCUUAUUUUGUCCACACGAGCGUGUUUUAGCCGUGUGUGACACACAACCAUGCACACGAGCGUGUGGUUUGGCCAUGUAUCCCCUGCACCUAAUUUUUGAAAAUUUAAUUUACCACACAACCUAGCACACGGGCAUGUGGCUAGCCAUAUGACACAAGUCAGAGAGUUAAACGGGUAAAGACACGAGCUGGGACACGGUCGUGUGCCUCACAUCGAAUGCCCACACGGCCUAGUACACAGGCAUGUCACUUGGCCGUGUGAGCCACACGGCCUACCCACACGGGGUGUGUCCCCUGUAUUUAGGAAAAUUUUUGAACUUUCGUGAAAAUUCUAUGAGUUCUCGAUUUAGUCCCAACUUGUUUCUCAGUCAUAAAUUGGGUCUCGAGGGUCCAUUUAAGGGACAAUAUGAUAAAAAAAUGUUUGAUUUUGGAUAUGAAUAGUAAAUGAUACAAUUUAAUUAUAUUUGAUCUGUAAACUCUGGUAAUACUAUGUAACCCUAUUCUGGUGACAGAUAUGGGUUAGGGGUGUUACAAUACAUAUAUAACAUGCAAACUUUAGGUAUUAUGUGAGCUAUCUAUAUCAUGCGAACCUUAGGUAAUAUGCAAACCUUGUAUUUAUGUGAACACUAGGAGAAAUAUACAUGCGAACUUAUCUGUUAAUUAUAUGAAAAUUUACAUGUGUACUAUGUGAACCCUCUAUUUGUUAGCAAGCGAACCCUAGGUGAUUAUUUAUGUGAACUGUACAUAGCAUGCUACCCCCUUUUAUAUGCAAACCCUACCUGCGAACAUGUAUGUAUGUGUUAAGAUAAACUAGGCCUAUUAAUUCACAUGUAGAUAUUGAGUAUGUGACACUGUUUUUAAACUCGCACAAAUUAUAUGUGUAUGUGAAAUUGAUGAGAAUAAAUGCAUGAAUACAUGCCAUUAAAUGUUAGUAUAUGAUAAUAAAUUUGCUUGUUAAACAUAGUAUCAAACGUUGAUAAUGAGUAUGAUAUGAUGAGUAUAUGUGCAUAAUUUCAAAAAAUUGGAUAUGGAGGACGGAGGAGUUCCAUAGGAGACAGUGGCAAUUUAAGUCCACACCGAAACUUAGUAUUGCACGAAAUAGAAGGCAAUGUCAUUAGAACUGGAUAAGCAGGGAUGGUAGGUUAAUAAACCACUAAAUCAGGACGACCGGGAUGAUAGCUAUUGUAGUAAAAAGCCAUCAAAAUCGAGCAACCGAGAUGAUAAGUUAUUGUAGUAAAAGUCAUCAUCAUAGAUGACAAAUGAAUGGCCAUCGUCACUGGAAACACAAAUCCGGGAUGGUCAGUUUUUAUAUAUGUGAAGGUGUGUUGAGCAAUGCUCGAAGGCGAUUAGGAUGCAUGGGAGGGGAAAUUUGUACUUGCAUUACAUUAUAAAUAUAUUCUGUUUAAACUGUUAUUACGCUAUAAAUUAAAUACAUUAUUGUUUGAAUGAUUAUAUAUAAUGAUUUAAGAUUAGUCUCACACUAAGCAGUUAUAAGCUUAUUCCCCUUUUCUUUAUCUCUCAAGUAGCACAUAAAACUAGGACUCGGAAUGGCAUCGGAGGAACCUCGGACUAGCAACUCAUUUUUCGUUAUUAUUAUUUCAAAGCUAUCUUUACUCGUUUUGUUUUCAGGAUUGUAAUUAUCAAUUAUUUCUCGCUUUUAUAUCUAGGGUAAAGUUGUUUAGCUUAUUUAUUUUAAGGCAUGACACUUAGCUAAUACUCUGAUAUUUGCAUGCUUUUCGAUUUAGAAAACCAUUACUUUAAAUGUUUCAUGUUGCUUUACAAAAUACUUAAAGUUUUGAUAAGUCAUUUGUUAAAAAAUUUACCUCGUUUCCAAAGUCUUCACAUUAAUAAUAUUUUAACUAAAUUGUUAAGUAAAGUCGGUUUAAAUUAAUGAAUGUUUUACCUAAAAACAAAGAGCGAUUUUUCAUAACAAAUCAAUGCAAGUAAAAGAGAGGCUUUACAAGAUCACUUCGGUGAUCGAAUAACACCUUCAACUUAGCUAAAACUCUUAAACCAGGUCGGGGGGUGUUACAUAUUUAACCUAAGAGUUCUCUACUAACAUUUGAGGUCCAAGUUCAAGUCCACGCAAUGACAUUUUCUUCCCUCAAUUUUGUAAUUUUUCAAAAAAUUUAUAUAUAAUAUUUUUCCAAUGAAAUUUGAAGAAAUUAUAUAAAUUCAAAAAAUUAAAAUUAAAUAAUAAAAAUUACAUAAUAUUAAAAAUAUUAUAAAAUAAAAAAUAUUACCAGUUAAAAUAAAUAUUUCAGACUAUUCUUCUGAAAUUAAAAUAUUCGUUGAAAAUAAUUAUUGAAGAAAAAUAUAUAUUGAUUUUGAUGUUUUGACUUUUUUUUUAAGAACUUAAAAUAGUUUCUUCUUAGAUAUAAAAAAAAAUUCAUAAAUAAUUAUUUUUAUGAAUGAUUUUUCUUUUAUAUUUGUUUGAAAUACUAUUUUAGUUAAAUAUUUAAUAAAGAAUAAAAUAUCUUGAUUAUUUUUGUUAAAAUUAUUAUAAUUUAAAUGUGAUAUGACAUUUGUCAAAAAUAUCUUUUAUACAAUUUUUUGUACAUUUUUUUAACAUUUUGAAAAAAAUUAUAUUAUUAUUUAAGAAAAUAUUUAAUACUUAUUUUUCUAAUAUUUUUAUUUUUAAAUUGUGUAUCUAAAAAAAGUUUAAUGCCAAUGUUGGCUUGCUAGUUGUUUGAGGAUUCAUAUCACACCUCCUAAGAAAAUAAUUAAAAUAAAUUUAUUUAUACUAUUAUUUAAGUUUUUUACUGAGUUAGUGUCACAAGUCAACCGGAACUUACUCUGUUAAAUAAAUUAUGAAAAUGUCUUUUUAUUUUUAACGAAAACUAAUAAAAAUAUGCAUAUUGUGAAAUUUGAACCCUCGCCAAUUAGAUUAGUAAAACCUUAAUGCACAUUUGUGCUCCAAAUAUGUGGUUUUCACACACAUGUACAUGUGAUAGGAUUUCUAGUAUAUUUAAAGAAAGUUAAUAUUUAUGCUAUUUAUAAUGCACUUUACUGAGUUAGUGUGACCCUUAACGGGGUUGUCAACUCAAUUAUAAAAUAUCUCUUUUUUAAAUUGUAAUUAAUAUUAUUAUGAUAUCACUUUUGUCUUUUCAUAGUUUUAUAUCAGCCUUGUUUGGUAAUUAACUGAUAACUGAAUGCAAUGGCUGGUUUAACCAACAGAUUCUAUUAACUGUUUAUUUAAAAAUAUUUGGUAAAACUUAGCUGAUAGCUGAAAGGUGAUAUGUGUAAAAUGACAAAUAAGGGCAUGACACAUUGUGUUGUUAAAUAUUUAUUUAUUUAUAAUACUUUAGUAUUUAUUGGGUGAAAAUAUUGAAAUAAAAUACUAUUACCAAUAAUUUUAGAUUUAACAAAUACAACAACAUUCGAAAAAAAUUAUGAUGUCAACUUUUGGUAUCAUUGAAGACAACGAUGAUUGCCCAGUAGAUGGUCGUAAUACUAAAAAAUUUUGGUUUAAGGAUAAAGGAAUCGAUAGUGUAGAAAUGUUAGUAGACUCGAUUUCAACCUCUACUUUGUCAUGGAAAGAUAUGCUUCUAGGAAACUCAGUCGAAUCCUCGAAGGAAACAGGGAAAGACGAUGGGGAAAUUUUUGACUUUGUAGGAGACUUCACUAGGUUAUCAAUAAAUGGAAUUCUCGCGAUUGCUUUCUUAGAUUAGGUUCAAAACUACCUUUGAAGGACAUGGAAACCAAGGUUGUGGUUAAAUUUUUGGAGCGAAGCAUUGGUUAUUCUACUCUUCAAAAUAGAAGUUCGACUCUAUAGCGGCCAUCAAAACCUUUCAACUUAUUGAUGUGGAGAAUGUGUAUUUUUUUUUUGUAAAAUUUCAGAGCAAAGAAGACUUUGAAAAAGUACUUACCGAGGAACCUUGGAUUGUUUUUGGCCAAUAUCAUACGGUCUACCUGUGGACACUAGAUUCCAACCUGCUCCAGCCUUUCCCGAUGGUUAUUAUGGCAUGGAUUGGCAUGGAUUCGACUCCUAGGCCUUCCCAGUUAUCUGUUUAAUAAAAAGGUUCUUGAAUUGACGGAUCGAUAGGGAAAGUCAUAAAACUUGAUUUCAAUACUGACAAUAGGUUGAAGGGACAGUUCGCCCGAAUGGCAAUCUUCGUAAAUCUAGAUAAAUCUUUAAUCUCUCAGAUUAUGAUGAAAGGUAAAUUAUAGAGAUUUAAGUAUGAAUCCUUACCGUCUAUUUGUUUCUCAUGCGAGUGAUACAGUCAUGUUAAGGAGCUACGCUUAUUUUCGUGUGGUGUAAUUUGUCCUAAUUCGGUGUACCAAAUUAAAUUAGUUUUCAUACUUGAGGAGCUUGAAUACAAGCAAUUCUAUUGUGUUUUAGUUAGUUUUUCUAUUUUAGCUUUAAUUUAAUAAAAAGUGUAAAUCGAGUCAUUUUAUGACCUUAGGGGCCGAAUGAGGCCUAAGGGUGAGCUAACGUAUUUAGUGAGUGUGCAGGACACUAUUAAAGGCAUAAGAGCUCAAGCUUGGUCUUCGUGUUGCAACAAGAAGGUCCAAUGUCGCAACAUAGGGCGCAGAAUACAAGAAUACCAAUACUGACUUUGGUGUCGCAACACACCCCUGAAGCUGAACCUGAGCCCAGGCAAACUUCCUUCAAUGUCGCGACACAGGAACUGGGUGUCGCGACAUCGACCCUGUACAAGAAAAAUUAUGAGCGAGCGGUGUUUUGGUCCGCACAAUGAAAACUAACCCAAAAAUGUCAACCAACCUAGGGCUAAGGAUGACUACCAACCCUAACUCUAUAAAUAGACUCAUUUAACACUUGUUUAGGGACAACUUUCAUAUUUUAGAAUUUUCUCUAUAAUUAGUUUUUAGUUUUUCUUUUGUUUUUGGCUUUAGAUUUAUUUUCAUUUGUGUUCUUUGAAGAAUCUUAUUUGUAGAUUCAACCAAACUCUUGUGGAUUCUACGCUUCAUCAAUCAAUACAAACUCAUGAUUCUUCUUAAACUAUAUUCUUGAUCUGCUAUUAAUGUUUAUUUAUUUUAUCAAGUAUAUGUUGUUUAUAGAUUCCAUGAGGAACUAAUCCUCUUAUGGGGGGUUAGUGAGUGGAAGUGGGAUUAGCUAAUUGUUAUAUAGGGUUUUCUUAGCAAAUCAGUUGUUUGGGGAGAGAAAGAACUUAAACCUUAUGUCUGACAACCCUAGGAAGUCAUUUAGGUGGGAAUUAACCCAAAAUUGGUAUGACUUAUCCGUGAACACCUUAGACCCGAACCGAUUUGGACUAUGAGGUUGAGAGAUUAGUAGUUAUUGCCGACUCGUUAGUUUAGUGGAAUUAAAUAUAUUUCCUCAUAGAUUCUUUUACGAUAAAGUUGUUAUACUUUAACAAAAUUAGAAUUGGGUUGAGAAAAUUAUUUAAUUGAGAAAUUAAUUAAUUUAAUUUAAUUAAUUAAAUUAAUUGAAUAAAUAUUUUUUUUGGCAGAUAGAAAAUAAAUAUUGGGUUGAUUAAAUUAUAAAGUAUUGGGUCAAAAGUUCAAAAAGUACAUAUAAUUGAACUCAAUACAUAAAAGACCUAACUUAGUCAUUGUGUGAACACAAUGUGCGGCAACCCUAGUAAUAUUAUCAAGGGCGUGCCACCCCCUCCCUACUCUAGUUAGAGUGGGAGUGUAUUUUCUAUUUAAAUAGUAUUAUUUAUCAAGGGCUUGUUCAACCAAGAUUCUUAUAUCUCUCCUUAUAAAUAGAGAGCACCAGUUGACCUAAAAGGACACUUCAUACAUUAUUAGAGUUAUCGUUAUUCUACCUAAAAGUAAUAAGAAUUUAUUUACUUAGAAUAAAUUUUAUUUUAUAGGAAUUAUGGUCUUUAUCAGUUUUUAUAGAGAUAAUUUGAUUUCUUAUUGAAAGUAAGUAGAUCAUUUUCUUUUUUGUGAUUUGGUUUGUGUUACUUGAACCCACAUUCGACGCAAUUUGUGGUAUGAUGAUAGUGGAGAAUACUGUUUAGUUGAAAGCUAAGAUCAACUAAAUUCAUUUCGCACAAAGCACAAGUAUUAUUCUGAUUUAGGAUUUAUUACUAUAAAUAUGACAAGAGGACUUGGCUUUAAAAUUUUUAAAAACUUUUACUAUAGUUGUAAAACUAUUUUGUUAACCAAUUUUUUCAACAAACCUAACUGGUUUCCUUUAGAUGCAAAAGAACCCAUGGAAAUUUAUAAGCUACCAUUUGGCACACUAAUAUGAUGACGACGGUAAAAAUUCUAUUUUAACAUAUUAAAAUGCAAAAAAUAAGCAAUAAAAAGAAUCUAAUAGGUUAUCAUAAAAAAUGGUUUAAUAAAAAAAUGUGAUUUAGAAGUAAAAAGAAUGAAAUAUAAAAAUUUGUUUAGUUAUUAUUCCCUACUAUUUAGGGAUAUAAUCAAAGAAUACACAAAUUUUCAUUAAUAAAAUAUUCUUUACGAUUUCAUUUUGCAAUUUUUACUAGUUAAAGAUUACAAUAUUUUCCAUUGAAAAAGCUACUAACCAAUAUAAAAAAGAGAUAAACACUUAAGGACAUAAAGUGAGAAGAAAAAACAUAUAUUAAUAUUGUUCUUGCUCAAAAAUGGAGGUGGGCUUCGCAUCCUUUAAUAGGUCCUGACAAAAUUGCUUGGAUGGGAACCUCAUUAGGUUGUUUCUCUAUUAAAAGUGGUUAUCGUAAGAUUAAGGAAAUGUUGUGGAAUCUUAGGAAGGAUGCUUGGAAAUUGCCAUGGAAGGUUGAGGGUCCUCAAAGGGUUCGGAUUUUCCUCUAGUUGGCUUUCAAACAAAGGUUGCUCACUCAAGAAGAGUGGCUAAGGCGUGAUGUGAGUAGUGACACAAGUUGUUCAAUCUAUGGCCAUGAAAUAGAGGAUGUUCUUCAUGCUAUAAGGGACUGCGAUGCAGCAAAGAAGGUAUGGCACUGAAUCAUUCCACCUCAUAAACUAACCGCUUUCUUUUUAAGUAAUUUGCAAGAGUGGCUUGAGCCCAAUUUGGAAAAUCAUCUUAAUAUUGACCGGAGGAAUGUUGAUUGGCUAUGUUUUUUUGGCCUUGUUGCUUGGCAGAUUUGGAAGAACCAGAAUAUAUGCACUUUUCGAGGGGUGUCGUAGAGUAUAGAGAAGAUUGUCAAAGGCGCGUAUAGUUGGGCUAAAAAAUACAUUUCUACUCGCAAGAGAGGGAGUUCUAUUAGACAUAUAUCGAGGGGAAAAUGGUGGAAACAGAAAGGUGGAUUCGUAUAAGGUCUGAUGGAGCUGUUAAAAUCAACACAGGUUGUGUUUCUGUAGGUGGAGUUUUAAGAGACCAAAAUGGCGAAUGGAUCCUUGGGUUCAAUCGCAGAUUAGGGAUAUGUUCUACUUUUGAAGCUAAAUUAUGGGGUAUUCUCGAUGGUGCGACAUUGGUACAAAGAAGACUUCAUGAUAGAAUCUUGAUAUAGACCGAUAAUAUGGAAGUUAUUGGGGAUAUCAAGGAGUCCUUAUUGAAGGGAUCAAAUUCUGCUUUAAUCAGAUGCAUUAUGCAACUCCUACGAAAAGAAAAGAAUUGGUCCAUAGAAUAUGUUCCUAAAGAAGAUAACAUGGAAGCUGAUCAAAUUACCAAAUCAACUUUUGAUAGGGAAGAAAGCUUACAAUUAUAUGUAGUUUCUUCUCUAGUUUCUUUCUAAUUCUUUGUAAUGUUUUUUUUUCCUUACAAAAAAAAUGGAGGUGGGAUCAUCCAAGAAGCUAUAUGACUUUUUUAAUAGAAAAUGAUUUGUUGUUAUUUGAUGUUUUUACAAAUUAAUUUUACUUUUUCAUAACAUUAGCAUUAUUUACUCAUUCUUGAAAAAUAUCGAAAGUAAUUAUAUUUAUUCAUUAUUAAAUAUUUCUAAUUAAGUCUUAAAAUGUAUCAAGUUUUAUUUAAAUUACUCAUAUCAUAUACAUCAUACAUAUCAUAUACAAUAAAGUUUAGACAUAAAAAAGAUAUGUUUAUAGUUUCAUAUAUGCAUAUUUAAUUUGUUUAAUAUUUAGAUUUAUAUUUCACAACCUUUAUGCAUGUAAUACAUUUAAAGAGAAUGGAUUGUAUGAAAUAAGGAUAUUAUCCAUUUCCAAUGGUUUAAUGUUACUUCAGUAAUUUCAUCCUGAAUUUUAGGAUUUUUAUUUAGAUUUGAUUUUUUUCAGGAUGAAAAUAUUGAUGUAGCAUUAAACUAUUGAAAAAUGGAUAGAGAUGAUAUGGCACCACUAUUUCAUACAAUCCUUUUUUCAUAUUUAAAAUAUUACAGAUAUACUAUAUUCUAAAUAAUUUUACACAUAGAUUAAAUUUGUACAUUGGGCGGGAAAGAAAAUUAGUGACUCACUAAAAACCCAGUUGAUGGAUUAAUCAUCUGUGUCAAUAUAGAAACUUCAAAUUUCAAAAAGUAUAAGGACUUAGAAUAAUCCAAUUGGAAAAUAUAGAUUAAAUCUACAACUGUACAUAGAGUAUAGGAUUAAUAAUUGAAUUGAAUUAGACAAAUUUAACUGCUAUUGUUUUGGUUAGGAUAAAAAAAUUUGAAAUUUAAAAAUUACAUGGACUAAAAUUGAUCAAAUUAAAACAUGUAGAUUAAAUCCACAACUUUCGUAAAGUACAGAGACUAAUAACAAAAUUUAACAUAAUGAGAACUUGCAGACUCUCACUCAAUUGAGUUUUUUUUUCUUGAAAACUUAUUCUUUAAAUUUAAAUAAUUUUUGCAAAAUAUUUGUCAAAAAUGUUAAAAAAAUAAUACUCCAAAUUACAUAAUAGACUUCUUUUGGUAAAUGUAUCAUGGAGGCCCUUAUAUUAGAAGUUGGAUUGCAUUUUGGUUCUUAUAUUCAAAAAUAGACAAAUUAUUUCUUGUACGUUAGAUUAAAGAGAAAAUUGGUCUUAGUUCAUCCAUUUUUACUAUUAAAAAUUGGUCAAUGUUCAUUAUCAUGAGGCACACUAGCUUGCCACGUAUCAUUGUCUGGUUAUUCUGUCAGCCAUGCUAGUUUUUAAUAGUACAAAGGGAUAAAAUUUUUAAAAUAAAUGGCCAAUUUACUAUUUGAUCUAAUGUACAAGGACUAUUUUACCCUUUUUUAUUAUAGGGGCAAAAAUGUAAUAAAAAGGUUUUCAUGAAACUUUUACCAUUUUUAAAAAAUAUUUUCAAAAAUUAUUAAUCUUUCCAGUUUUUUAAUUUCUACAAAAUUUUAAAAUUUUGAAUAUAUAUUUUUAGAACUCAAUCAAUAGUUGACCAUGUGUCAUGCAUUAAAGAAAAUAUUUAACACUAACUUUUUUGUUUGUUGAAUUUCUAGUACAGGGAUUAAAUUACUAACUACAAGGAUCUUCUGGCUAUUUGUAAACCUUUGACUAUAGAAAUUUCUAAAAAAGAGCCAUGUUGGAACAAUAUGAAUCAUUAGAUCAAAACCAAUUGAUCUAAAUCGUUGAGGGAAAAAAAUACAACUUACAAUUUAAAAGAAUUUGUUUUAUCCGGAUACUACAUGAAAACAACAAUUCGUAAUAAAUUAAAAAAAACACUUAAAAAUUAAAAAUAUUUUAGAAUAUUUGUAAUACAUAAAAAAUUAUUUAAAAUAUGACAAAGUUAAAAGAUUUAAGUAAUACACUGCAAAAUUUAUUUAAAACCUAAAAGCAUUACUAUUAAAUAAUUAAAUAAUUCAUGAUACAUUAAAUCCAGGGCAAAUUUAGGGGAUUUAACUCCACUCCAUUUCAUUUAGAUACUAAUGGAUGAAAAAGUAACAGAAUGAAUUUAGGGGAUGGCAGGAGUCUCGUCCUCCUAAAUUUUAUGAAAUUUCAAUUCAGCUCUUUUAGUUUAAGUUUUGUUAAGAUUUGGGAACCGAUAGUCCAAAUGAAUGAUAGGAUGUAGACCUCCAACCCGAAUAAACCCAACCUGGAAGAAGAAUGUUCACCUACAGGCACAGCUAGCUGAGGACCUCGUGGGAAUGCAAGAUGAUCGAAGAGAUAACUCACGUGGGAGAGCUCGCGUAAGCCUCGCACAAGUAAGGUCACAAGAGGGAGCAUAUGUAAACCUUGCAGGGACGAGGUCACGAGCCAUGUCUACGAAGAGGACCCUCGUUCGUGACUAGCAGGUGCAAGGUUUGCUAGGAAAGUCAGUCCCAGGGUCAGAAAGGACUGCGUGCUCCACAGGCAAGCGUCCAAUAAACCAAAUGAGGCCCAGAGAAUGUCAACACCAAUGAUAGAGAAUGUCAGUGCCCUCGGCCCAAAGGCCAAGAAAAAAUAGUGGGCCCUAUUGUAAGCUGUAAUAGUAGCAGUAAGAAUGUGUAUAAAUACCCCUCGUAUUUCCCUUAAUACAACAUGAGAAAAUAUUACUCAACAAUUGGUGCGGUGAAUGUGGACUACUUUCGGCCAACAAAUACUAUCUAACUUGAUUUAGUUCUCUUGAACCUUAAGUAAAAAAAAAAAAGACUCACCCCGACGAGACCUCUUCUUUCAUCCCCUCCUUUUGUCAGACAGGAGCGUCGGGUCUCGAUCCCCGACGUGAUGAAAUGGACUUUUUUUCUAACUGGCCCAAAAACCUCGACAAUGUGAUCUAUCAGAGGCCUUUUCUUUCCUUAGACCUUAAUCUCUCAUAUGGUCAAGGAAUGCUCUCUUCCCUCAACCAAAAACCACCCCCGCCGCAGCUCUAGGCCCUGCAGGAGAAGAUGAAAUUCAUGAGGGAACAUAUGGCGGCGUAAUGGGCAUGGUUUGUAGAAUAGCAAGCCUUUCAAUAGGAGUUUCUAAGGCAAAAUGAGGAACUACACCGGAAGGUACGUGCUGAUAACUCGGGAUCCCAGGGAAAUACUAUUGCUUAAGAUGAACCCCUGAGCACUCAGGUAAAGGAAUGGAUGAAUGAGAUGGAUGAACUUCGUCACGACGUGCAGGACAUGGACUGGUUGUUCUGUUCUAACAACCCGCUAGCCCUCAAGAUCGCGACAGUAGGUCUGCCUCGCAACUUCAAAUUUCCUAAGGACAUGUUUGAAGGAAGAAGGGAUCUGCAAGCCCAUUUAGUGCAAUAUAACAAUUAUAUGAGCAUGUUGGGAGCAUUAGAUGCUGCCAAAUGCAAAGCCUUUUCUAUGAUGCUAAAAGAAAGCAACAAUUAUUAGUAUCUUUCUCUUCCACAUAAGUGGUAUGAUGGCACUCAGUACCUCAAAAAAACCACGACACUAGGAACAGUGGAGUGUGGAGUUUGAAAGUGGUAACGAUGAGCUAAUCCACGACGAGGAUGGGAAUGACCCAAUGAUGGUUUCGGCUAAGAUCGCAGGGGUCGAAGUUAAGAGAAUACUUGUUGAUAGCGGCAGCGCAGUAGAAGUCUUAUCUUGGGGAGCAUACAAGGAAAUGGGCUUGAAAGGGCAAUCCUUAUCUGCAGCCAGCCCUUUGUAUAGCUUCGUGAACCAUCCUGUCGAAGUAAGGGGCACUGUCACAUUGGCGGUCACUCUAGGUGAUGCCGAGCAUACAACCAUAGAAUGUGUCCAGUUCUAUGUGGUCAAUCACUCGAUUGCAUAUAACGCCAUCUUUGGUAGAUCAAUCAUGCGAAUGAUAAAUAUGGUGAUGACAACCUACUGUAUAAAGAUCAAGUUCUCGACAAGUACCGGCAUAGGCUUCUUGCGAUCCAACUAAUGCAUUGCGACGCAGUGCCCUAUGAUGUCUAUGAAGCAGGUGAAGCAACCUCUGACCGAGAAUCAGAGUUCGCUAAGUAAAGCCAUCAACUUAGAUGACCUAGAUGUGAGGGAAGAACAUCGAGAAACAAAACUCGAGGUAGUGGAGCACACAGAGACCUUACAGCUAUUUUGCGACAAUAAAGGAAGAACAGUUUGAAUUUUGUCAGCGCUAAGUAAAGAAGAAAAGAUUUUACUAGUGGGAAUUCGGACAUCUUCGCAACAUAUAUGCUAGGUGUGGACCCACGAGUAAUAGUGCACAGGUUAAAUGUACUCCUAAAGGUGAAGCUCGUGAAGCAGAAAAAGAGAAAGUUUGCACCACAUGUAAUCGAAGCAGUAAGGUUGGAGGUCGCCAAGUUGUUGGCAGCCAAAUUUAUCAUGAAAGUAGAGUAUCUGAAUUGGAUUUCGAAUGUGGUAAUGGUAGAAAAGGCGACAGGCAAGUGGAGGAUGUGUAUUGACUUCACCAACCUGAACAAGGCAUGCCCCAAAGACAAUUUCUCCUUGCCAUCAAUAGAUCGUCUAGUCGACGUCUCCGAUGAGCAAAGGUUUAUGAGCUUCAUAGAUGUCUUAUCAGGCUACAACCAAAUAUUGUUAGACUAAGGCGACCAGGAGAAGACAACUUUCAUCACUAAAGAAGGUCUUUUCUGUUACCUAGUUAUGCUAUUUGGACUAAAAAAUGCGAGUGUAACUUACCAAAGGUUGGUAAACAAGAUAUUCAAAUAGUAGAUAGACAAUAGCAGAUAGACUGCAAUCUAGAGGUAUACGUAGAUGAUAUGCUUGUAAACUUGUGAAUCCAUAUAUGAGCAUGUGCGAAACCUAUCUUACACGUUCUCGACGUUGAGGGCCCACAACAUGAAGCUUAACUCCGAAAAAUGUACCUUCAACUUGCGAGUUGGCAAGUUCUUUGGUUUUAUGAUAUCAGAUAGGGGAAUAGAGGCGAACCCAGAAAAUAUUCAAGCUAUCGCGGAGAUGCCCCUACCGCAAACUAUAAAAGAAAUCCAGCACCUCACGGGCAAAGAGGUGGCGUUAAACAGAUUUAUCUCUAGGAUGGUAGACAAGUGCCUACCAUUUUUUAGGGCUUUGAGGAAACCUUUCUCAUGGACCGAAGAAUCUCAAACCACCUUCGAACAACUUUAUGGGGAAGAGCUAUCAGGAAUCUUACGGGCAUUAUGAACCAUGCCCCACACUGCAACGGGUGAGACGACCUUCUCAUUCGUGUAUGGCGCAAAAGCUGUCAUCCCAGCGGGGAUAGGCCUAAGAUUGUACAAAACGCAACACUUCAAUGAAGAAGUUAAUCAAGAGGCCCUAAGACUCAAUCUGGACUUAAUCGACAAGAUCAGGGAAUGGCUGAGAUAAAAAAUACAGUUUGUGCCCAACAAGUAGCUCGCUACUAUAACUCCAAGGUUAGAGGAAAGCAGUUUCAAGUAGGCGACCUCGCGCUAAGAAACACCAAAGUCAGCUUUCCCGCUUUUCAGCGUGAGAAGAUGGCCCGGAGUUGGGAGGGACCAUACAAGGUGGUAAAAAAGAUAGGCUACGGAGCAUAUAAAUUGGCAAGAAUGGAAGGCGCUAUGAUACCACAAACCUAGAAUGCUUGACAUCUCAAAAAGUAUUAUGUAUGAAUACCCAUCAUAUAAAUAAAAUAUCUUCAUCACAAAAUUGUCAUCUGUAAAAUUAAGGUUCGCAUGCGAAAAGCCGUGACCUCCAGUACAAUUAGCGAGAGUAAAGCUCCCAGCUGAAAAAUUAAGGUUCGCAAGUGAAGAGCUGCGACCUCCAGCACAGUUAGCGAGAGCAAAACUCUCAGCUGUAAACUAUGGUUCUCAUAUAAAAAAAUUUCCAAAAAAAUUUUCAAGUUAAAAUAGCUCGCAACAACGCUCUUCAUUUUAAAAAAUACAAAGAGAACCAACUAGAUAUCAAAACUAUGUUUAUUUAUUCAAAAAAUAAUAAGUACAAUAUCAUUGCUUAGUUACAUCAUCACCCCUACCCUGAUCCUAAUCAGCAGGAACAACAUUCUCAACAGUUGGAGCAGCAGCCACAACAUCUCCAGUCACCGAGGGACAAACUGAAGUCAUAACAUCCUCAGCAACAGAUAGAGCCAGGUCCGCAGUACUAAAACCCUCUCCCUCCUCCACAAAAAGCUCAUUCUUCUAGGUGGCCGCGAAAGAAUCCCAAGUAGACCUAGAAGGGUUAAAGACAUCAAAGCUUAGGCUGUCGCAUCCAUGUCCGCAAGCGCAUCGAAAUCUACCUUGUGGACAUCAAAGGGGUCGUAGGCGACUUGGGUAUGUAGAAGCAAGUUCUCCUUGAUCCUUUGAAGGGAGCACAAGAUGUUCUGGGAAGUUUGUUGCUUGAAAGUUGCCAGCACCUCUUCUGCUUCCAAAAGGUAGUAUCCACCUACUCUUGACACUCCCUAAUGAUAUUUUCCACUUCAACGGAGUGCCUUGCAGUAACCUUCUUCAGCUCCGCCUAUGUGAUUAUGUGCCUCUCCUUUUCUGCGGUGAGUUUAGCACCACACUCAUCCGCUUUAGUCUCUAUCAUCGUCAGACGCUCGGUGAAGACCUUCUGUGCUCAUUUAUUAUUUCAUUCUCUUCUCUCACCUUGUUGUAUAGCUCGCGUACGCUGUCUAGCUCAGCCUAAGUGUAACAACCCUAACCCGUAUCCGUCACUAGAUUAGGGUUACGAGGCAUUACCAAACAGAUCAUAGCUCAUAACAGGCAUUCAUUACAAUUCAUGUUUCGUAAAUUAACCACAUCAAUACAUUUAUCCCAUUCAAAUUCCAGAGCUUAAAACUCCUAAAUUCAUCUCAUUUGCUUUUAUUUAUAAAACUUAUACCAUUCAAAUUAUACUACUAUGCAAUAUCACACAGCAUGUAGACCCAACAUACUCGGCCUAAACAACCUCAACAAGUGGACAAGUAUGAAAUUUUAAUCAUUAUAGUCUUACACUCAAUUUACCUAAUUAAUAUAAACCAAAUUAUAACACGUACUACAAAUCAUAGUAUACUUCAUUUACAAAUUCCAUAAUCAAGCCAUACCAUAUAUAUAAACAUUACAGUAAGGCCAAAUUUAUCACUUCACUCAUCAUGAGGUUAUGUGCAUAUAUCCACAAUAUUUUGAGCAAACUUCAAUCACUCAUAUUGAAACAUAUUAUACCCUCACAAACCUAUUCAAAGUAAACCAACCUUAAGUGAUUACAUUACUAGUUGAUACAUUUAUUUUCACUAUUGAAUAUCCGAAUUUUUGUACACAUUAUAUACUAACUCCCAAACUAUUUCCAAGAUAAUUAUACUUCAAAUUAUUACACCAAAUCAUACAUUUUUUAUUACAAUUUUAUGCGCAAGAGACCAUGCUAUUUCGAACCAUUUCGAAUAUAUAUAAUACUUUAAGUACACCUACAUAUAAACCAAAUUAUAACACGUACUACAAAUCAUAGUAUACUUCAUUUACAAAUUCCAUAAUCAAGCCAUACCAUAUAUAUAAACAUUACAGUAAGGCCAAAUUUAUCACUUCACUCAUCAUGAGGUUAUGUGCAUAUAUCCACAAUAUUUUGAGCAAACUUCAAUCACUCAUAUUGAAACAUAUCAUACCCUCACAAACCUAUUCAAAGUAAACCAACCUUAAGUGAUUACAUUACUAGUUGAUACAUUUAUUUUCACUAUUGAAUAUCCGAAUUUUCAUACACAUUAUAUACUAACUCCCAAACUAUUUCCAAGAUAAUUAUACUUCAAAUUAUUACACCAAAUCAUACAUUUUUUAUUACAAUUUUAUGCGCAAGAGACCAUGCUAUUUCGAAUAUAUAUAAUACUUUAAGUACACCUAAAUCACAUACUUAAAACUUUCGUACACAUAUCCAAUCCCUUAACCACAUAUUCGAUCAUCGCAAUUAACCUCUAAAAAUAAAUCAUGUCAAUUUCAUCAUGAAAUAUACCUAAAAAUUCAUUUAUCCAAACCUAUAUAAUAUAUGCAUGCUUAUCCAUUACAUAUCUAUCAUUACUACAUUACUAAACUAAAUUAUACAACUAUCCACCAUUCAAAAAUUAUUUUCACAUCUCAUACAUAUAUAUAUACCAAUAACCUACUUUCAUAAUAGGUUCAAACUUUGGCCAUAAUGCACAAGCUUAACAUUAUAACAAAUCUAUAUAAUCAAACACCACACAUAUAUAAAUACCAUGAAAUAUAUUUUCAUAAUAUACUAUUACCGUAACAGAACACAUAAGUAUUAAUAUCAAGAUUAAGCCAUUUUCGCAUGGCUAAAUAUAUAUACACACUUUAUGACUAAACAAGAUAAAUACUAGCCUAUACAUGCCGAGAUAGAGAUUGAUAGUGUGACGGGCUUCCUUGACGACUCCCAAACUCGUGACAAGAUUCCAAAAUUUAUAAAACAACGAAUGAACAAGCACACAAUAAGCUUAAAUAGCUUAAUAAGUUCUAAGCAUUUUCAAAGAACUAAUAAAAAUAACACCAGUAGGCUGAAUUUACUAUUCAUGUACACAUACAUAUAUAAUCAUUUUUAUACGAUUAAUUCAUCUUUUCAUGUUUUAUAUAUAUUAUCUACCUUUACUUUUAAUUUCGUAUAACUUAAACAUACCUGAAUUGUUUAACCCAAACUCACAUUCGAUUUUAUCAUAUGAUUUCCCCUUAUAGCUUCCGGAUUUAGAGAAAUGAUACUCGAUCGGCUCAAGAAGCUCGUACAAUGCCAACGUCCCAGACGUGGUCUUACAUGCAAUCAAACAAUGAUGCCACUGUCCCAGACAGGGUCUUACACGUAAUCAUAUACGACGCCAAUGUCCCAGAGAUGGUCUUACACGUAAAUCUCAAAUCGAGGACAAUGUCCUAGAUGUGGUCUUACACAAUGUCACAUUUUAGCAUUUCUGUAGUUCGUAUGACUUUCGGAUGUUGUAAAUCAAUCAAUUAAAAACUCGUAAUUAAUUAUCAUUUGUCAAAUACAAUUCGGCACCAUAGGAUACACAUACACAUUUAGAUUCAGCUAUACAUAAAAUAAUUACAGUAAAUUUAACUUCAAUAAUUUACUUAUGAAUUUACCUAGGACGAAGACAAGCGGAUGGAAUCGACUACUCGACCACUUUCGACUUCUCCCGUUCUAAUUCCGUUUUCUUUUAUUCUUGAUCUAAAUAAAUUCAAAUUUAGCUAUUUAAUAACACAUUUCAUUCAAAUUUAUUCCAACAAUAUAUAAAUGGGAAAAUUGUAAUUUAACCCCUAACAUUUCACAUUUUUUACAAUUUAGUCGCUAUUUCACAAAACACAAAAUAUUCAAAAUUUGACAACAUCAUAGCUUGGCCGAAUAUUCCUUUAGCUUAUAUAGGCCCACAUAUUUCAUUUGUUUUACAUUUUAGCCCCUCAAUUUUUCAUUUUCAUAAUUAAAUCCCUAAUUUGAAUUUUUAUAAAAAAAUAACUUAACAAAAUUUAAUAAUCUAUCAAAAAUAUUUAUUUUUCAUCAUUAAGCAACAAAAACACCAAGCUAUCAUCAAUGGCAACUCACAAAUUCAUCAACCAAUUCAAAAAUUAGUACACGGGCUAGCUAGAAUACGAAGCAACGAUCUCAAAAAUGCAAAAAUUAUCGAAAACUGAACAAGAAACAUACCAAAUUUUUUGCUCCAAAGUGCCGAAUACUUGAAAGCUCAAGAGCUUAUUUUCCUUUGUCAACUUUCGGCCAAAUAAAAAUGAACAUGCAUGGCCUCUUUUUUUUUAUGUUUUAUUUUAUUUAAUUUAAUGUUAUUAACCUUUUUACUAUUUUAACCUAAAUAAAACAAUAAUUUAAGUCAUUUAAAUCAUGGACAUAAAUUUCCACUAACUUUAUAAUGGCACAAUAACCUUUUAAGGACUUUCCAUAAAUCAAAUCAUAACGAAUUAGCAUAUUAACAAUGAGAAUGCCACUUUUACUUUUUAUGCAAUUUAGCCCUUUUCACAAAUUAAACACACAAACAGAUAAAUUAAAUCACAAAAAUUUCACACAUAUCAAUUCACAUACUAUAAGCACAUAAAAUAAUAUUAAAAUAUUUUUUUGACUCGAAUUUGUGAUCUUCAAACCACUGUCUAACUAGGGUGUAAAUCGGGAUGUUACACUAAAUAUCAACGAGCUCCUUAUCACGGGCCUCUGCAUACCUUAGGCCGAGAGUGCCAACCUCAGACAAUAGGCGGUGCAAAGAUGAGGGGAAGUCUUCCACAGCCUCAACAGACACCCUUUCAGCUACGGGAGCCACUAGAGAGUCCUCACGAGCAAGGGGAGUGUCCUCGGUGAUAUUAAUGGGCGAGCUCGCUUGGGCAACAGUUGGCAAGUUCGCCAGAGGGGAAGAACGGAUGGGGGUGACUGCAGCAGCAAGGCCUCCGCUAUCAACCCUCCUUUUCUAGCGGCACUCCAGUUAAGGACCAUCCCCUUCCUCCUCGCUAGAAGGGCUGACACGUGUGGUCCCAGUUGAAGUCCUGCGCCUCUUGCGACCACUACUUAUUAAAGCAUUGAUGUCAAUGUAUUUGUUAAGCUUGCCUGAGAUGCUGUCACUGUUAGUGUCGCUUGAGCUACCUUCAUUGCCCUAAUCGCCCUUUACAUCACCAAGAACCUUAAGAUUAGUAGAAAUAAGUGACAAGUGAGUACCUCCUUCAACCCUCUCCUCUUGCUCAAAUUCUGGGAGAGCAAAGGGACAAAGCACUUUCCCACAAUAAUGGUAGAACAAGUUAGCAAGUUUCCUUAAGCGCCUUAUCAAUAUCAUUCCCAACUGAUCGAAGGAAUCAUGGGGCCAAGUGUCCCUAGCUAGUCACCCACCAAUUGACCACGCGACCUCCUGAUUAUCACCAACCCUUCAACCGUUUGGGAUAAGAUCCUUCAGACAGAAUCUAAAGACAUUUCUAGCAAUUAGAACCUCCUCUAGGGCUAGCAUGCGACCAAUGCGCAAUCCCUAAUACUAAGCAACAGCCUCAUCAGUAGCAAGGCUCCUCUGAAAAGCGUGCAUAUCCUUGUUGGGGAAGGUCCAUCUAGUGGGGAACCUAAAGCCCUUGCCAAGUAAGCUGCGAACUUGGAUGUAUUUCCCUCGCUUCAGGCGAAGAUUCUUGCACUGGUUUUUUAUUAUUGUUUGCACCUUUCGACUGGGGGAAGGAAUAGUAGAACCUUACAGACUCCCCUACGUAGGUCCCUUUCAACUGAUACAAAUGCUAGAAGAUGGAGAGCAUAGGGACCUCACCUUGCUGGUAGCAGUCAAGGAAAUAAGCAUGGCGAACCACUAGGAAAAAUAGAAAGUUGGUCGGGAGCGAGCCUGUAGUCGUUGAGGAGACUACAAAAGAAGGGGUGCAGAGAAAGGUGGAAGCCCGCUUCCAGGACAUAUAAUGGAAGAAGCUGUCUUCUGUCAUCUCACACACGCGGUAUGACCCUGAGGGAAUGGAAAAGUCAUAAGCGAAGUGGGGAAGCUCGAUUCUCCGUACGGCCAGAACCCGUUUCAUCUCUUCGGAUGUUGUGGUGUAGGCGUAGGGUUUUUCAGUCACGAUGAUUGGAAUCAGACAAGCCGAGACAAUCUGGCUAUGAGCUCCUCUCAUUCUUACCAUAUUGCAAGCAAAAGAAAAAAGAAAAUAGAUAUUGGUGUUAAGAAAUAGAGAAAUUAGGGAGAUUUACCUCGAUUCUGAUUUGCAAAAAAAGCCAAACAAUGGGGAAACCUAAAACCCCGACCUUCGCCUUUUAAAGGGAGACUCUUGAAACCGUUCGGGUAACCAAAAAUGAACCAACAGCCCAUAUGCAAGCACAAAAAACUGAUUCAUGUCUUAACGGCUGGAUAUGCAUGUCCAAUACUAGGAUUUGCACGUGGCAAGGCAGUUGUUAAACACUAUGGCCUCACCACAUGCCAAGCAAGCUGCGUCUGAAAUGGACCUAAGGCCCACCACUUUAUAAUGUCCCUUAGGCCCACCAAGGGGGGAUUAGAUUGUUAGAAUUUGGGAACCGAUAGUCUAAUGACCGAUAGGAUCUGGACCUUCGACCCGAAUAAACCUGAUGCAAAAGAAGAAUGUUCACCUACAGGCACAACUAACUGAGGACCUCAUGGGAAUGCAAGAUAUUCACAGAGAUAACUCGCGUGGGAGAGCUUGCAUAAGCCUCGCACAAGUAAGAUCGUAAGAGGGAGCUCGCGUAAACCUCGCAGGGACGAGGUCACGAGCCAUGUCUGCGAAGAGAACCCCCAGUCGUGACUAGCAGGCGUGAGAUUCGCUGGGAGAGUCAGUUCUAGGGUCAAAAAGGACCGCGUGCUCCACAGGCAAGCGUCCAAUAAGUCAAAUGAGGCCUAGAGAAUGUCAGCACUAGGGUCAAGGAAUGUCAGUGCCCUCUGCCCAAAGGCCAAGACAAAACAGUGGGCCCUAUUGUGAGCUGUAAUUGUAGUAGUAGGAAUGUGUGUAAAUACCCCAUGUGUUUCCCUUAAUACAACAUGAGAAAAUAUUACUCAACAAGUUUUAAAAGUUUUUAUUUUAACCUUAUAAUUAAUACUUAAAAAUAGGAUAAAUUUGUACUUGACCCCUCAAAGUUUUCCAAAGUUUCUUUUAAUUUGAUUUCUUUUUUAGAAUUUAUAAAUUUUUAUGAUAAACUUAGUAAUAUUUUUAGUUUAAUUUGAUAAAAUAACUAGAAUAUUUAACUUAUUUUAUUUUUUUCUAAAAAAAAUGUUAAACUAGAAAUAAUGUUUAUACUGGCAGAGCUAAGAUUCAAUCAACGAUGAAAAUCAAUAUUUAAAACAUGAGAAAUGUUUCGAAAAAUUUAGUAAUUUAUAAUGCAUAAAAAUUACUCAAAACAUUGAAAUUUUAAAAAAAAUUGAGAAAUUCGUAAUAUAUGAUAAUUAUUAAAAACAUUAAAGUGUUAAUUACAAAAUAAUUAUUUUGAAAUUUUAAGUAAUUUAUAAUGUAUGAAAAAAUUGCUUAAAACAUGAAAAAUUCUAAUAAAUGAAAUAAUUUAACUUGUAACAUUUUUUUUUAUAAUCAUAGAUCUCCACAUAUGGUUUUAGAAUUCAAACUUAAGGGUGAGAGUUCAAUUAAAUCAAGUUGAAUUGAGUGAAAAAAUUUUGAUCUGAACAAGUCACACAUACACCCUAGUACAUGUUCCUCGGCGCUGAGGACAUCCCCCAAGAGCAAGGGGUUUCAUGACAUUUCUAAUUGGCUAUCUUGCAUUUCUAAUAAGUUGUUUAAUAGUUGGCAUACUGAAUCAUAUACAUAAUAGACUAGUUUAGAAAUUCCAUUUUUUGGGUUGAGAGAACCCUAUGAAUUGGGCGAAACUAAAAAGGACUCGAUAAUCAGUAAUAAGAUGAUUCACAAAUCAUCCCUUCAAAUUCAAUCUAUGGCGUGGACAAAUUAUUCAUUAACAAAAAAAAGAUGAGCCAAGGUUUCAGGCAAAAAGGAAAUAGGAUCUUUAUCUGAAUACCGUCUGUUAACCAGUUUUUUGGAAAUUCUGUUUUGGAUAAUUGAACACCAUUAUAAGUGCAUUUAACAUGCAUUUCUCGAUUCCAAUCUGUUAAAUCCUCAGACCACUAGGAAAUUGAAAUAAUAACAUACAGGCAAUGUUUUUAACUAUUAUCAGCGAAGGUAAUAUAAUAUCUGUUCAUGAUAAAACUUCAUAGGGUUUGAUGUGCUUUUAUCUUCAACGAAUGGCCCAGCAUUCAAUGCGGGUCGAAGCAUAUGGUUGCCUGGCUGGUUAAAUGCUAUUAAUGAAAAUAGUAAUUCACUAUUCUUAACAAUAGGUCCUGGAGACUUCUUGGUUCAUCUGCAUACAUCACUACACUUCUACUUGACACCUAUCGUAAUGAUAAACGGCUCGUCUCGCCAUGACCUUCUCUUGAAUUCUCAAAACUUCUGUCACUCGAUCUCCGCAGGGACAGAGAACCCAUUGCCGUCUCGGCUGUGCUACCGGAGGCUCUAGGGAAGUCGGAAUAGGAGUCUUAUUUUAUCAUCCUAACUCGACUUGAAUUUUUUCAAAUUGAAUGAAAUAAAAUUCAAGUCGAAUCAAAUCGAGUGAAAUUAUUCAAGUAAAAUUAAAAAAUUAAACAAAUCAAAUUAAAAUCUUAUUACAGUAUAAUUAAUUCUAUGUUAGAGCACCUAAAUUUGAAACCAUAUAUAUUUGAAAACUUUUUUAGAGAAAAAGAAUAAAAAUAAUAAUUUAGUAUGAUAAACUUGAAUCAUUUAAUUUAUUUAGGUCCCAAAAAUUAUUAUUUUAGAAAAUUUUUAAAAUUUUAACUUUCUUUAUAUAUUCUUGAGAAAAUUUUAAAAUUGUUAUAAUUUUUUUAAAAUAUAAAUUUUAGAAUUUUUAUAAAUAUUUUAAAUUUUAAAAAUCAUUUUGAAAAUUAGAAUUUUUUUUGUUUUUAAAUUUUGUUAGAAGAGAGAUCAGUUUACUCAUUUUCAAAAUUGGCAAAGAACAAAUACAUAUUUACACUAAUUUGUUAUUCGAAUUAUUCGAGAUAUUCAAAUUGUAAAAUUUAACUCGAUUUGCAAGUUACUUAUAGGAGUUAACUCAAAUAACCCAAUUCGAUAAAAUUCAAUAUUUAAUUUUUUUUCAAUUUUUUUAAAUAAAAUCAAAUUUUACUCACCCAUACUCAAACUCAAUAAGGAAAGGAAAUCCACUUAACUUUUUCCAACUCAGCUUUAAUAGACAAACAGAAAACGACAUCGUUUGUAUUUUCCCUGUGUAAUAAUAAUAAUUUUUUUUUUCUUCUUUCAAGAUUAGCCAAAUAAGCGUUCUUCAAUUUUCAACUGAAACCUUAGGACCAGAAAAAAAAAGGGAAAAAAAAUCUCAGAUUUUCUGUCAAGGUAACCCCAAAAUUUCUCUCCUUCACUUGAUUUUUGUAGUAUCUCCAUUAUAAUUCAUAUGGGUUAUUAAUUUUCUCUCAAAAGAUCAAAGCUUUGUCUUCUGUUUGUUCUUUGGAGAGAAUAAGAUUCUGUGAAGGAUCAAAUCAACAAAACAGAAAAAAAGAAAGACCUUUUCUUUUAAGAAGAAAGUCUUUGCGGUUUUAGUUCUUAACUUCUUAUAGUUUUGGUUGGUUAGUUGACUUUAGAUCUCACUUUCAUGUCUUUUAUUCUUGUAUUUGAAUUACUGAGAAUUUCUUUAAAAGCCCUAUUUGCUACUAAUAGUACUAUAAUAGAAUAUAAGAUAUUGAUGGGAUUUGAGGAAAGAUCUUUAAUAUGAACUCUUUUUCUUGGUAUUUAGCAACUACUUUUGAUUUUUAUGCUGUUUUUUUUUUAUGAUUAUUUGAAUUAUAACAGUUUGGGGUUGUAGUUUCCGGGCUGGCCAAGAAAAUUUCUAGCAGAAUCAAGUUUGAAUUUGCAUUAGAAUUUGUGGGACAAUUGAAUUGAUCAUUUCAUUUCUCUUGAGAGCUUAGCAUUAGCCAUUAAGUGUGAUGAAGUAUAGUUUAAUGGUGUAAUUGGCCUUGUUCCAUAGUAGUUUAUCUCUAUGUGAUCAGCUAGCCUGAUAAAGCGGUAGCGUUUUUUUUUCUUUUGUUUUUGGGAUCAAGACUAUACUCAUGAACUUUGGACUUCGCAUUUACUUAAACCUGUUUGGUAUUCAUGUCAUGUGCUCCAAAUUCCAAAUUAUUUCAGACUUCAUAAUUCACCAGUUAGAAGUGUGAUUGCUUUAUAAACUUACAAUCAAUUGUGUUCAUGGAUACUGGUUUUGGCAUUGUAGGAAAAUAUGGAAUCCAGUAGGGGCCAAGGUGGAAUCCAGCAGUUGCUUGCUGCAGAACAAGAAGCUCAGCACAUUGUCAAUACUGCCAGAAAUGGUAACUACUCUAUUUGUUGUGUUCAACAGAUUUAUAGAUUAAACCCUUUAAAGCCAUUUGUCUGGAUUUAUUCUUAUAGACUGAUAUCUAUGUUUGUCUAUGUGUAUGCCUGCAAGAAUUGGUGAGAAUAAGGAGAAAAGAAAAGUUAUCCUCUUCAUGAACUCGAUGUAGGAUUUGGCUUUGUCAUUUUCUCUCAUAUUUUUCCUGUGUUUGUGUGUGUGUAUGCUAGUGGUCAUUCGCAUUGUGUCCUGAUAUGCAUGGAAUUGCUUCUGCAUGCAUUAUUAUUUUUUGUGUUUUCAAAGUAGUCCUUGGGGUUUGUUUUGGUUCAUUAUUAUAACUUUGCAUUUUUAGCUCUAAAGUAAUUUGUCUCAUUUCUUAAUAUUUUUUGAAUUUGUACCUUUAGCCAAGAUGGCUAGGCUGAAACAAGCCAAGGAAGAGGCUGAAAAGGAGAUUGCUGAAUAUCGAGCUCAAGUGGAGAAGGAGUUUCAGAGGAAACUUGCCGAGGUAAAUACUUCUUGUUGUUUAACUAGACUAAGCAUCUGGCCCUUCUUCAUUUAGCUUGUAAAGUGUCUCGUUAUCUCUCAAGUUUGUUAAUGAGGGUUGCCUUGCAUAAUAGUAGCAUCAAUUCAUUCUCUUAAGCAUAUAUUUCUUAACUCUCUUUCUGAUGCCUGUCUCAUGUUCAUCAAACAGAGCAGCGGGGAUUCGGGUGCUAAUGUGAAACGCCUUGAGAAAGAGACUGAAGCAAAGAUUGACCACCUGAAAAAUGAGGCUGCAAGAAUAUCAGAUGAUGUUGUCCAAAUGCUUCUCAAGCAUGUAACAACUGUAAAGAAUUAGUCCCCUUGAGAUGGCAAACAUUCAAUAUAUGUUACUGUUGUUCCCCUGCAUGAUGUAAUAUUUGCGUUGUUGCCCUCACCUGGUUUAGACUCUGGUGAGUAAAUUAGACCCUUUUUAUCAGAUACAUCAGUUUGAGAACAUGUAGGACAAAUUGUGUGCCUAUCUAUUUAUGCUGGGGAAAAGAGCAAUAAAGUUUUAAUAAUGUCAAUAUUUUUGCAUUCUGAACCUAAACUUAAUGGCUAAAGAUCAGAUUCUCAUGCAUAUACAUGAUUUUGCAAUUAUAACAUAGUUUUGAAACCAAAUUCCUUUGAGACAAUUGGUUUGGAGCGGCUGGUGUAUGGUUAUGGGAAUCCAAGUCAUCCAAGUACUCCUAGACAAAUUAUUUUCAGAAGUGCAAAAGAACCCUUGCUUUAUGAUCUAAAAAGAGGAAAAAAGGAUCCCAAACACCAAACCAGGGAUUUAAAUUGCGGUCGCGGCCGUGUUUUCGGUCGCAUUGCGUUUAUCGCGGUUGCGGACAUAACGGAUGUUAUUGCGGUCAUUGCGAGUAUCGCAGUCGUGAAUUUUAAAACAACUUAUUGUAAAAUAUAAUAGCGGUUUCGGACAGUGCCACUACCGCUAUAUAACGGCCGCUAUUUCGGUAACGGACCGCUAUUUAAAUCCCUACACCAAACAAUGUGGGGUCACUGAGCUUUGUGUUACAUUCCUUGAGCUUCUUUCUUACUCUUUCCAUGUCAUUCAAAAACCCUGGCUACCUUCACCAAGUUUAGAGACAGAAAAAGUUGGAAAAGAAGUGGCCUUUUUCAGGUUGAAUUCUCUGCCUGGAGCUUGUGCUUAGCUAUAUGCCAAAUUUGACAACACAAAAACAGAGGAAAACAAAGAGGGAAAAGUAGUUUGGGAGCAUAGUCAACUUGAAGCCAACUUGACUGUGACUGACUACAGCUUGAUUCAAUUAGAUAUCUCCCUCUUUUUUAAUCUUCAUUUUACACACACACACACACUUCCUUUUCUUUUUCCUCUUAACAUUUCUCAAGUAUGCAAACUACAGUACUCUUAUUUUGACCUGGAAAAAAAAUACACAGUUUGCAGAUCAUUUUCAGGACAGUGAUGGAACUGUUUGAAUAGUACCCCAAAAGAAUCAUUGGUUGUUUCCCUAGGGGAACUAAAAAAAAAGUGAUUCCUACCCUUUUUAUCUUUCACUGUUGAGACCCCAUCAUCAUCCAAGAAGAAUAAUAAGCCCAGCAAGUCAAGAAUAGUAUGUGUAUAUGCCGAAAAUAGGUAAUUGAAAGCUAUAGUUUUUUCUUUUUCACAUCAAUGUUGGAUUCUGGAGUUACUUUCAAUAACAUACAACCGGGUAAUAUUCACCAUGUUCUAAGUCAAAGUUGACACCUGAUGAUUUCCAAUAACUGCAAACAUCGCAUUUCCUUGUAGAACACCUACUGAUGCCAUGUUCUUCACUAACAUACCCUCUGUUUCAUUCACCAUUGCAUGGAAUUCCAUUAGCUAUAGACCCAAGCCACUUCAAGGAGUACAAAUUUAGUGUAGGUGUUUGAUAUGAAAGUUUUUUUUUUCCAAUUUUUUAAAUAUAUUUUUAAAAAAUUAUAUCCUUUGUUGCUAAAAUAAAAUAUUUUUAAAAAUAAAAAAGAAUAGACUAAGUAACUUAUGAAGGUUUUGGGAAAGAACUAGCAAUUUUGGCUUACAAUGAGCGUGCCUAUAGGAUCUUGAUGGUAGAAAAUUAGCUAAAUUAGCCAUAUAUGUCUUUUUUUUUUUAAUUAGGCUUAUAAAUUGUUUUUUUUAAUUUAGGGAAAUAAGUCGUUUUGGAGAGAGAAAUGAAAAGUUCUCAGUGUUACGAUUUUAAAUAUUUUUAGAUUUAGGGUUUAAUAUUUUUAGGUUUAGGGCUUUUUAAAAGGGUUUUGAGUUUUCGACUGAAACCUCAAAAUUUCAUAGGUAGUUUUGAGGAGUUGGGGAUGUAAUAAUGUGUCUCAUAACACAUACAUUUCAUAUGUCGUGGCGGGAUAGGACCAUCACCUCAAAAAUCCAUUUUGGGGAAAUUUAGUUUCAGGGUGAUUAUGCUUGAUAAGAUCAGGGGUUGAAGCCUAAGCGGAGGUCCCAAUUGGUGGCUUUUGAGUAUAAUCGAAGGCCAGUCAACGGUCGUUACACGAUCACGAGUUCAAGCUUUUUUGAUACCUCGCAAACGAUGCAUUAUAUAUAUCAUACAUAAGAUUGAUGUCAUAAUCAUAGGGGAAAACGAAGGGAUUUUCUGUGUAAUCAAUGUAAUUUUUUUUAUCUAUUUUCAUGCAACUGGUAUCUUUAACCUUUCAUUCUUAUCCGAAGGCUGACACCGAGGUGGACACAAGAGAACUCUCAUGGGGAGAGCGGAUGUUUCGACGAAAGUAGAUGUCAAACUCGGGUCAGCGCGACAAUGGUUGUAGUUAUUAAUAGGUUGUUUAAUAAUGGAAAUCAUUGUCAGCCUGAAAGGAGCAUCACCUUUACUCCAUCGAAAUAGUCGCUUCCCACCUGAGAGUCCUCCUACGUCCAUGACGAUAUCGGUCUUCGGAUAAGAAUUAAGGUUAAAGGUACCGGCUGCCUGGAAAUGGAGAAAAAAAUUAUGCUAAUUAUAAUCGGAAGGCCCACAAUUUUCCCCUAUUAAUUAUGCCCUCAAACUUUUGUAUGUUAUUUAUAAGGCAACAUUUUCGGGUAUCCGAUAAGUUUGAGCUUGUCGCCACGUAACGACUGUCAACUAGCUCCCCAUUAUACCUCGAUUCAUUAUCGUAUAACGGUCGUCGAUUGAGACCUCCACGUAUACUUCACCUGUGACCAUACAAAGUAAAAUCACCCCGAAACCUGACUUUCCCAGGAUAGGCUUCAAAGAUAAUGGCCUCAUCUCGGCAUAAUAUAUGAAAUGUGUACAGCUCAGAAUGAUAUCGCAUCACUGACGAUUCAAUAAUACCUCAAACAUUAACAAAAAGAAUUUAGCGAUAAAUUUUUAACACCCAGAAGUGUUUUAUAGAAGAGGGAUAGAAAGGCUGUGGGAAAAGAUGUUUGAAGGACGAUGAAGCAUAGAGUGGAAGACCCCUUUUAUAAGCGUGGGAGAAGGGUUGGAUUGUAAUGUAAAAAUUUCCCGCGGUCGAAAACGCGUUGCAGGACUAGCAUCUUUUAGGAAAAUAUUCAAAACGUGCUUAAAAUCGGUUAAAAAAUAAGAUGGGCAAGUACUUUUAGGAAUAAUUUAUGCACGUUUUGAGGUGUCGAAUACUAUAAGAAACACUAUUUUGACAAAAUUAUAUAACUUUAGGAACACGUUUCUGAAUAACAAUUUACAUUUCAUUAUCAUUGUUUGCUGAAUGCGUGUAUUGAUAAACGGAUUUCAAAGUACGUAUUCCCUCUUUCGUUGGCUUAUUUUCCUAUCAAAGGGACGUAAUUUUCACAACUUAGACACGCAGUAAAUUAAUAUAAAAAUUAAAUUCUUGAGUUACAGGAGUCGUGUGUACUUCUUUUGACUCUACUUAUUUUUUGGUUUUUGUUAAUCCAAUUCGAAAUCAAUAUUGAAAUGAGUCGACGAGUGAAAUCUGUUAUUUACUACGACGGUUAAAUAUGUAGUACAGAGGUUGGAGUGGUAUUUGUAGGAGCAUAUUCAGUGGAAUUGGCAUUUAAUCGUACCAUUCAAUUGCAUAAGUUGCAAACUAAAAUCAGAAGAAAAGUCAGAGGAUCAAUCAGGAAAAGAAUUUUGAGGUUACAAUGUAGAUAUAUUGCUUCCGUUGACCCCUAUAGGUAUGACUUAUUUGAUGUGAAUGGCGAGCUCCAGCUCGAAAUGGUCAUAUCAUCGUACGUCUUAAGCAAAAAUACUGUAAUGGAGUUAUAUGUCGAGUUUGUCGAGGUUGAUGGAUCUGGCCCAUCUUCAGUUACUAUUUCAGCUAAUGUUGGAAUUAAAGUUGAAGUAGAAAGUCCUGCCACACGGUUGUGUGGUGGGUUCACUGGUUUGUUACAAAGCUCCUACUGCAAUGUCCUCGAAACAUCUAUGGGUAGACACUCGUUGGUCUCUGGCACAAAUCUAAACUUUGUUGGCCAAUACUAGUCGAGGUAUGAGCGUAACCCGAAUCUCGACAUUCAAUCAGUGCGUUCAAUUUCGACUUCAGUGCGGGCUCAAUGUUAAAAGUACUUAUACCUGGGAUUCAUCGACGUACACUGGACACCAAGCUGGAACAGAUUUUUGCGGGCAUAUAGAUUAUUGAAGAUUUGCUCUUUUUAACAAGGAUUGACGAGGGUACACUAAACCCCUUACUUGAAGGGGAUAGUGAAGGCGUAAAUGAGGAAGAAGAUACAAGUGAUGAACAAGAGACAACAGAUGCAGUUGACGGGGAGGAAUCAGACCUUGAGCUAAUCAGGCAAUAUAGUUUAGAUAGUUCAGAUGUGAGACUAUUUUUCAAAUCGGAGACGGUUCUAACAGAGCCAGAACCUUACGGGUCUAACGAUGACGACUUGGACAAUACUCUAAAUUUAAAUCCACGAUAUAGAGCAUAUGAACCUUUGCCCCAUAUAACCAACAUCGAUCUAUCGGCCAAGGGUGGUUUAGAGUUUUCACGUCUACCGCACAGAACACCUAGCCAUGCAAACAUACCGCAUGAUGUACGAGUACUAGAAGUUAGAAUGAAAUACCCAAACAAAGAUACUUUUCUUUCUGUACUGAAGCGGUAUAACUUUAAGAAUGGUAUAAACUACUACAUCAUGAAGUCUAGUUUUAAGAAAUUGAAAGGAAAGUACACAAUUUGUGACGGGAGAUACAAGUGGAAAAUCAUGGCAUCUUCAUGGAAGAAGAUCGGGUUAUGGACGAUAAAGAAGUAUUUCGGUCCACAUACCUGUAUUGUGGUGGGUGAAGUCAGAAUCAUCCUAGACUAGAUUCGGAUAUUAUUUCUGACGUUACACUACUGAUGGUGAAUGCGAGUUCAAAGAUUCUCGUCUUGGUGUUGAUUGCGAACAUAUAUAGUCAAUACAACUAGACUCCAUUGUACUACAAAGCGUGGGUUGGAAAUAGAAGGUUGUUAAUAAGUUGCAGCACGGUUGGGAUAGUUCGUACAACUAUCUAUGGUAAUGGUGUCAAGUGUUGAAUCGAUACGUUCUAGGUUCCAUAACCAAUCUAGAAACGCACCUAGCGUACUUUGACGAUCGAUUAGUCUUUAGGAAAAGAGUAUUUCAUCGAUUCUUUUAAACCUUUGAACAAUGUAGAAAAACUUUCUAGCAUUACAAGCCAUUGGUACAAAUUGACAACAUCUGGAUGUACGAAAAGUAUCAGCAUCGAUUGUUGAUUGUGCUGCUUAGGACGGGUAAUUGAAGGAGUCUACUGAUUGCGUUUGCAAUAACUCUUGGAGAAAUGACCAAUGACAGGGAUUUCUUCUUGAGUCGAUUGUGUCACUACGUUUACCCGUAGCCCGACAAAUAUGUCAUAUCUGACAGGAGAACCAGAAUUCUGUCCGCGAUUGAGCAACAUGCUAGCCUUUGGGAUCGCACCCAUCAUAGGUACUUCUUACGACAUACCAAAUCCAAUUACCACACAAAAUGGCUUUCAAAAUGUGAGCAAGAUACAGUCACCAACAUAGGUAUGUAAUUGGAACUACGAGUACAGCUAUAUUACACCCUAUUUCGUUCGUUGUUUGCAUUCAUGAGUAUGAUUCUCUCGAAAGGUUACGAGCUUGUCUAACAUCAUUUUCAUGAAAUGUUGAACAACUUGGGCGCUAUCAAAAACUACGGUACGACAUACCUCACUAACAUACCCUUCGAAUAGUGGACACAAUCCUAUGAUGGGGAUUUAUAGUAUGGGCACAUGACGUCAAACUUAGUCGAGUGUAUUAAUUUCGUUCUAAAGAGGAUACACCAUUUUUCAAUAACCUCGAUUGUGAAAGAAACAUACUUUCGCUUGGCUGUGUUGUUUCCAAAGAGGAUGUAAUGAAAGAAAUCAGACAAAAUACAGUGAAAGUGAACACUAUGUAUGUAGUAUGCCACUCGUGUUGAAACUUGAAAUUUUGAGUCACGGAACAUGUUAAGCCGAAUCAGGACAUGAAAGGGGAAUUAUAUUGUAUCAACCUAACAGGAGGGACUUGCAACUAUGGGAGGUUCUAAACACUUCGGUUCCCAUGUGUAGAUGUAAUUGUUGCAUAUGGGAACCUAAGAAUUGAGUACACGCCCUACAUCAACGAUGUGUAUAGUCUAGAAUGCAAGCAAAGAGUAUGAAGUCCUGAAUUCCCAUCUGUUCUCAAUGAGAGUACAUGGCUACCAGUUUUUAACGCGUUGUACGAGUUGGCACUGAACAUGAACCUGCAUCACAUUCCGAAAGGUUGCCCAAAUACCACCCCGAUAUGGAACAGUAUGGAUAUACGGGAGAGGGACGAUCAAUAAAGGUUAUGUAGGUACUAUAGAAACUCGGGGCAUACAAAGGCAACAUAUUCUAUGCUGAGGGGUACUUUGGAGCCUCAAUGUUGAUAGUAUUAUUUUCUUUCAGAGAAUAUAUUCAUUAUAAUGCUUCCAUAAUUCUAGUGUUCCAAUUUUGUUAUUUCUUAUUAACUUGCACAUAACUCACUUUAAAAUGUAAUGAAGACAAAAAUAAUGUUGGAAUGAAAAUUUAUGGUUUCUUUAUUUAUGUCAUAAAUAUUUACAUUGCAGUUGUAAUAAAAAAAUACAUCAAUUGUGUCGUCAAAAAAAUGUGUGUUGUAGGGUGGUGGACGACAGACACGAAGAGGAUUUUUGUACACAACUGGAUAUGCGAACCUAUAAACUUGAUUGUUGCCAUCAUCCUCAUCAUCAUCACCUUCACCCCCACCCUCUUGCUCAUUUCCGUCUCCAUCGUCGUCAACGUGUUCGUCUUAGUUUUUGUCUUUGUCUUCGUGUUCGUUUUCGCUUUCCUCUGUGCUCAAGUGCGGUGUCGUCUUACCCUUUUAUCGUGUAUCCACUCCACUAACAGACGGUUGCAUCGAUGACCCACCUCGAUAAAAUAAUGAUGCGAGCGAUGUUUGUGCCACUAUCGACCUGUAACCGUAAGGUGCCAUAAAACCUGAAUAUGUCGACAUUGGCCCGGGCAUCGACAUUGGCAUCGAUUGUUGAAUUGACGUUUGUAUUGGUGUUGUCAUUGAUGACAGUGCAUGUGUCGACAUCUGGCCUGACAUUUGAGUCGGCAUCGACGUCGGUAUUGGGGUGUAGAAUACGGGGACGUUAGUGGCUCGAAAUAUCUACUUGCAGGAAUAGAAGAAUCGGACACAUGCGGUGGUGGUGCGCAGUGUAAUGCUUGUAAAAAAACGCGGGGUUAGUGAAAUGAACAUGAAUAAGUGGAUUGAACUGGUUGAGAUAUUGUGUAAACAUAGGCGACGUUUCUUCGGGCAGAGCCAAUAACGAACCCGUCAUACCACCGCGUCAAGCCUUACGCUGCUGCUAGGGUGAUCAUCGUUGCCACUUCUAACGAAGUUGUCUACUACUUGCAUCCACCGAUAGUAGAUACGACUUGCUGGCGACUCUGAACCAUAGCAAGUACUCUAAACAGGUCGCCAUGUCCGCUGAGAAAAAUAGUUUGCGGAUGGGUAAAAAUUUUAUCCUACGAUCCUAAGCCUCGAUGUAGUCAUUGUGAACCUCUUGCCAAUCCUCGUUGUUCUUCCCCCACUUGUCCACAUUGUGCAGCUCUUUCAAGUCUCGCGGUGGUGGCAGAAUUUGUUAUCUCCACCCUAACUGCCAAAUCACCCGGUCCGAUUCAUGCAUUUCCACUAUCUCGUACACUAUAAACGACACAUUCGUGUCCCACAUCUCUCGGUUGGCCAACACUUUCGAUAGAAUGUAAGAUAUGAUAUCGAUGUCAGCGUAUGCCAUCCAUUCAAAUUGAAAUGCACAAUUGUAAAUUUUGUACAUUACGAAAUUUUAUUUUACAAAUCAUUGCGUAAUUAAUAUAUGUUUGAUAGAAUAAGUAACUAACAUCGACUUCUGAGCAUUAAUCUAACAGUAGCCUAAUAAUUUUCAACUCUUCGAGUAGUCCCACGUAACUCAGCCCAUAGUUUCACCAAUAAAAGCUAUAUGUUAGUUUAGACAUAUAAUAAAUAAAAACUUUUAUUGUACAAACUACGUAUUUAUUAAUAAAUUAUUUUUACCUUGUCACCAUCGGAAACAUAUAUGGGUUGUUCACUCGGGGAUGUAGAAAUGGUAGUCGCCACCAUGCCCACGACUGCAGCAAAAGUAGACAACUACCGAUUGAUAUCAUAUCCGGUUCGGUGGCCCGACACAACUCCCAAUAUAAUGUAAUCAUCACGACUAAUCCCUAAUUAAGUUGUCCACAUUCUUUGAAGUCUACUAAGUGUAGUAGCCACCUUACGUGCACCAAAUUUUGAGAUUUCUCGGGCAUUAAAAUGCCCCCGAUUAAUUGAAGGAUGAAUUCCUGGGUGUAUUAUUUUUUGACAACCUCAAUCGCGUGUGGAAGAAACUUUUCGAAAUUUUUCGCCAACCAAUUCAUCAAUAUCUAGUAACCAUCAAAUUUGUUUGAGACCUUCCUUAAUAAUGUUGCGCAUAGAUCCUCUUUAUCAAGAAUUAUUGCUUCUCUCGUGACGAUUGGCCCAUCCACCAACAAAUCGAGUUGUAAUGCCAUGUCCUCCAGUGUGAUUGUACACUUGUCGCAUGGAAGAUGGAAAGUUUGUUUCUCAAGUCUUCACCUUUUCACCAACAAGUUGAUGAGUCUAGGAUUGAGUUUGCAACCCCCGAGCAUACGAGACGUAUACAAGAAUCUCGCCUCUUGCAAGUAACCACGAAUUUUGGUGAUCGAAGGCUUUGCCAAAUUAUGUAUGAAUGCUUCCAAAACACGAUCAUCUGCCUAUUUAUAACUACAGAAAAAAAUAUUUUAAUUUUUAAAAAAUAACUUAAAAUUAAUUUAAUCGAAAAUAACGAAAAUUAAAUUUUCGUCUUACCAUUACUGCUUGAGCGGUGAAAAUGUGAUUGUCGUCGAAACGAAUUAGAGAGAUUGUCAUUUGUGAAAACAUAAUCCGAACGAAUUAAAUACAGAAUAAUUAAAAAACUAAUAUUUUUAAACGGGAAUAUUGAAAAAUUUAGAACAAUGACUUGAGAAAAUUGAGAGAGUUGAGAGAGUUAGAAAAAAUUGAGAGAAUAGGAUGUGAGUGAAAAAAAAAUUAGGAGUAUUUAUAGGUAAAAAAAAUGAUUGUUGCCCCCUUUUAAUAAAGCUAUUAGAUUUGACUGUUGAGGGAAAGGCGUCUAGCUGGGCGCACUUUCCAUUUCUCUCUCCAAACAUGAUUUAUUUACCUAAAUUAAAAAAAAAACUUUUAAGCCUAAUUUAAAAAAAAAACUGACAGAUAUGGUUAAUUUAGUCGCAAAAAAUUUAAAUUAUUUUUAUUUUAAAAAAAGAACCGUGAUUGGCCAAAUUCUGGUGACCAAAGCAAUCAGCAGCAGCAUCUCAAUUUCUCAUAUGACAGAAUUUGAAUAAAUAAAUCUUAAAAAAAAUAGUUUUGCAUAAAUAAUGGAUUAUUUUAAAGUUUCCUUCAUUUAUUUCCCCCAUUAUAAUCAUUAUCAAAGGACAUAUGGUUGGCCAUUAUACACACAAACUUCAAUUAUUAAUUUGAUUUUGAUAUUAUUAUAUGAAUGACUUCACAAAGAUUGUCAUUUCUCAAAAAUAAUCAUAAAAUUCAGGAAAAUCCUGAUUCUUGGCAACUACUAGAUAUAAAAUUUUGAUUGCCUUUGCAAAUUGCAUUGUCCAAUUGGUGGAACAAGCCAUGUUAUGAUAUAAGCAGAAAAUGGUGGUGGUGGAGAAUACCUGUAAAGCAUUAAAAAAAAAACUAAUUCAUUUUUUUUCAACCUAAAUUGACUGCCUUGGACUCUGAAUUUACCCAAAAACAUAUACUUGUAAAUUUAAAUUACAUCAAUUCUGUUCUUUUCUUUUUUUUUUAAAAAAGAUUCAAGCUUUCAUUGCCUUGUUGACAAACAUCAAUCUUUAAUAUAAAACUAAAUUGUAAUUAAUUAAAAAAAAUCAGACUUUAAUCAAUUCCCGGCCAGAGUUUGGGUAUUUUUGUCAUCAAACAACAAAAAACAAAAGAAAAAAAGAGAGAGAAAGAGAGAAGCUGUUCACUUUAGCACAAUUUCUGUCUCUUCAUCAAUGGUGGUUUUGGUGGAGCUUUACGCAAACCCAAUACUCACCCAACCAAAUAUUCUCUCUUUUAUUUUUAUUUUUCAUUUGAUAGAGAAAUGAAAGGAAAGACCAAGUAAAUUUUUUUUCUCUUCUAAACUCCUUUCGAUUCCAAAUAAGUUUUUUUUUUCUUUUCAUUUUCUUGGGUUCUGGAGGGAAAAAUGGAAAACCCAGAAAUUUUUACUUGAAACUGGAUCGAACUUGGUUGUAAAGUCUUUCCUUUAUAAAUAUUUGCAAAAUUUCCGGUUUAUUUUCCUUUUGUACUCCAAUAACCGGGAAAAAUUCAUGGGGAACAUCGGAAGUAGCGGAGUAAGUGGCCGGAGAAGGCACGGAAGCAGGCGAAAUCAUCCUCCGCCACCACAUCCACCUCCUCCAGCUCAGCCCCAACCUGAAAUCUCGGCCAACCGUUACGUCUUUGCCGCCGCAACGCCUUACCCGCCACAAUACCCGAAUACCAACGCACCCCAGUACUACCAGUACCCAGGGUACUACCCCCACCAGCCGCCUGUGCCGUUGCCGCUUCCGGCGCCUUACGAUCAUCAUCACCAUCAUCGAGGUGGACCCCACAUAGAGCCCGCCAGUUGGAGUAGAUAUGCUUGUGGACCGAUGAUUACUCCACCGCCGCCGUAUAUAGAGCAUCAAAAGGCGGUUACUAUAAAAAAUGACGUAAAUUUGAAGAAGGAAACUUUGAAAUUCGAAGCUGAUGAGCUGAAUCCUGGGAAGUUCUUGGUUUCUUUCACGUUUGAUGCUACUGUUGCUGGAAGGUAUAGAACUUCAAUCUCUUUGUUUAAAAAUUUUCAAUUUUUUGAAAUCUGUGAGAAUCCAAUGGUUGUAGCUUAGAAUAUGAGUUGCUUUUGAUUAAAAUUUUGCUCCUCGGAUAUAAUUUAUAUGAUGAUUAUUGUUACACUUGUUUUGAAAGCUUGAGAUAUAAAUUCUGUCAAAUUAUAUGAUUGGUGUAUUAUACUUGGGGAGAUGCAUGUUUAGAGGGAUAAAAGUUUAGCAAAUGAUUAGGAAUCCAAUGAAAGCUUAUUGGUUUUUUUUGGGGGGUUUAUUUAAGUAUCGAUUUGUAUAUUUGAAGGUUUUAUGGUUACCUUGCUUGAAUGGGGUUUGAAUGCAAUCAUUAGAGGUGUGUUUUGAGGUCCCGGAUUUUAUGUUUCUACUUGAUAGAGAAAAUGGCAAUAGGUUUACCGCGACAAAGGCUAGAAUGAUGGUGAUUUUUGUUAUCCUUUUAAAUUUACACAUCAUAGAUAUAAUGACUUCUGAGCUAGGGUAAAAUGAUCGGAAAAGAGAGUUCUGCGCUUUAGUUUGUAAGUAUAGGUAAAGAAAAGACUGAAUGAUUUGUUGAAGUCAAAUACAACUUACGAUGCAUGCAUGUUGGUGGCUGAGUAUCUUGUAAAAAUGUUCUAAGGUAUUUGAUAUUAAUAUCAUCAAUUUCCUGUGUGCAUUCGUUUCUAUCAAUAGUACGGGCAUUGCUGUUCUUUGAUUCAUUUAUCUAACAAUAUAUUAUUUGCUGUGUUUCUUCAUUUCUCUGGCAUCUUGAGAAAGUAAUACUUAUUUAAUGGAGCAUGUACAUCUAACCCUUAAACACAAGCCUUCUCUUUUUCUUCUUAGAAUCAAUUUUCUGUGUUGAGGUUAUGUUGCAUCUUAUAUGAAGUUCAGAUUUGCGAGUUUUUAUGUGAAUCUGAUAUUAUUUCUUAACAAGAUGAUUUGGUUUGUGCUGCAAACAGGAUUACUGUUAUUUUCUUUGCAAAAGAAGGUGAAGACUGCAAUCUGACGGCAAUGAAGGAAAGUAUUCUACCCCCAGUAAUUGUGCCUUUCGAACAAGGUCUAGGACAGAAGUUUAGACUGCCGUCUGGAACAGGGAUCGAUUUCUCUAUGUUUGAGGAGUCGGAAUUACUGAAAGUAGAUGAAGUGGAUAUCUAUCAUCUGGCUGUGAAAGCAGAGGCAUUGCCUCUUAACCAAAAUGUGUCAGAUGGAAACCAGGAGUCAGGAGCCAUGAAUUCUCAGAUAACUCAGGCGGUGUUUGAGAAGGAGAAGGGUGAAUACCAGACCAGAGUAGUGAAACAGAUUCUGUGGGUGAAUGGGAAGAGGUAUGAGCUGCAAGAAAUAUAUGGGAUCGGAAAUUCAGUUGACAAUGAUGUUGAUCCAAAUGAUAGUGGAAAAGAAUGCGUUAUUUGCCUUUCAGAACCUCGGGACACUACUGUUCUUCCCUGCAGGCACAUGGUAAAAGCAGCCACUUGUUCUUUUCUCUUCAUAAGUUAAUUUCAUUUAUUUUCCAUUGUUUGGUCUUUUGCAAUAUUGAUCUAGUAGACCAGAAAGCAAAGGGAAAUACUGCAGUAAUAACUUAAUAGGUUGCAGAGAUUUGAAUAAAUAUUUAGCUGAAAGUAUCACCUUUGGAUACGGUAGUGAAAAUGCUUUUAAGUAACAGAGAAUCUUUCCUCUCACUUAAGUGGUCGACAUAAGAUUUUACUGGUUGCUGAUGUAAAUAUCUUUUGGUUCAUAAUGCAGUGCAUGUGCAGCUCUUGUGCAAAGGUUUUGAGAUGCCAGACGAAUCGGUGCCCAAUCUGUAGGCAACCGGUUGAGAGGCUUUUGGAGAUAAAGGUCAACAAUGGCCCUGAUGAAUGAGAUGAGAACAUGUUUGUUGAACUAUCUUCCUUUAUAGUAUUUUGUUGUUAUCAUUAUGUCAUGCCUUUCUAAUAAUCAAA
Molecule: long non-coding RNA, 45273 nt
Filed under: Gossypium raimondii (Peruvian cotton)
Lineage: Eukaryota; Viridiplantae; Streptophyta; Magnoliopsida; Malvales; Malvaceae
Description: long non-coding RNA (GRAI_LNC007777)
Source: RNAcentral